GAGAGAGAAGGUGGUAGGGACGCUUCCAUCCUGUGCUGACCCUGUGGUCUCGCUAUCUUUGAGCUGUGCAGGCAUCGACAUUGCCCGCUCUUCAUCUCCGCCGGCAUCGACGGGAGGAAGUAUCCUAGGGGAAAGGCCGAGCGGCGAAUGAGAAGUACCUUUGUGGACGGAGGGAGAUGGAGUCAUAGAGGGCCGGCGCUGGUUGUAGAGAGAUACCAAGGUCCUAGGCCACAUAAUGCGGUAGUUUGGACAAUCGCCUAGGAUAUCCACACCUUCCUUUGGAGGUAGCGGGAUAGUAUAAUCCCAAUGCUCCUCAACGACGGAGUCCACCAUCACACUCACUUGUGCGUCGUUCAUGAGAAUGCCGUGCACCAGUGGCGGUGAUUGUCUGGGCAUCAGACGGCCAAUGACGCCUACAGGCUUCCUAGGCUUGUCAACGUGGAUACGACACUUCACCGGUGCCUGCGCGUAACAAGAAGAAGGCAUAUGUGUGUAAGAUCUUUAUUCAUGAAGGUUAGGAGUGAAAAAGAGUUUGAAAAGAUUGCUUACAAGGAUGUUGUCGCUCAGACCCGGAUCGUUAUCCCGGAUGCCCUCGCUUGGGGAAGGUUGGCUAGCGGGGGGGUUGUCCAUGCUACGAGCCGGGCUGUAACCAGGGGUGUAGGUGUCUUCGUCCUCCAUACGUUUGUCGGAGGCGGCGCUGCUCUUCAGCGGGGUGCUCUUUCGCGGGGGAAGAGGAGGAAGAGGAGGAAGGAGGUUCCUCAAACCUUCCACUCCUCCCCCGAUUAUGGCGUCAAGGGCGGGGUGGUCUUUGGCCAAUGCCGACACCAAAUGAUGGACGGCUUGCACUGCAUAUUCCCGCGACACCUCUUGAGACACGAUAGAUGCCUGCUCUCGCGCCUCCGCCUUAGCUUGUUCUAUUAUCUCAGAAGAAGCGGGGAGCUUUUUCUGGACCCUGCUUCGCUUCGGAGUAGGCGGGAAAUAAUCAUCCCAGCAGGCCCCUUCGCCUUCUCCUAGAACACGGCCCGUGUACUCCGCCUUUUGCAAGCCGGCAGUCACAGCCGACUCCCACCUCUUGCUCUGCACGGAGUUGUCGGAGGUUUCUGACAUCUUGCUCUCCUCCCAUUUGUGGGCAUUUGCCUGUUAUCAUAUAAGACAGGACGUGAGUCUAUAUGGAUCAGGAGUGUCAUAAUUAAAGCCGAAAACAACUAAAUGCACAUGAACCCUUACCGUAAAAAUUUGAACAGGCGGCUGCAUUGGCUCAAUGCCCGCCCACUCCUCGGGUGUCAUGUGCGGACGUGCAUAUUCUCUAGCACGUUGGUCCUCCAACAUGUCAUGCACUGGAGGCACCCUGCCUGCCGCCUCGAGAAUUCAGUACUGUUUGCGCCAGACCUUCUUCUUCCCCUCUUUCCCAGCACUCCCUAGCCUGUGGUUCAAGGGCUUCCUUGCGCGCAACGCUCUCAUGCGUUCACUCUUCGCAAUGAAGGCAGGGUCAUAUGAUUCCUUCUUGAAUUUUUCCCAUUCGGCCUCAUCAGUUACCGACGGCCAUUUCUUCUUGAUGAUCUCGUAGGGUUUGUCCAUCCACUUUCUAGCGGUGGUUUUCCAAUUAGCAAGUCCAUUGCGGACUGCUAUGUUGACGGCCGUUAAAAAUCGCUCGCGCCACUCGUCAGUGACUUGUAACCUCCUUGCAACGUCCGCGAUGCACGUGUUUCUAACGACUUCGGAGAUGUCACUCCACUCGUCGGUGAUCUUGCAAUACUUACGUGCAACGGCUCCACAGGUCGUUGCGAAGGCCUUUUGUGCCCUCUCAGGCGACUCCGGGCAGCCCCUCUUAGAGUGCCGGGUGACCACGUGACAGAACUCCUUCAAGUUGUUGUUGGGGAACGCGGUAUGCUACGCUAGCACAAAAUAAAAUUUUCUACCGCUUCCGCCCGGAUCAAUGCUGUAGAUAAUGGAUCACGAGAUUACCACUAGACGCGCAGACCCGUAGCGGAAGUAGAGUCGAUGUAGCGCGUCGAUGCCGAGUAGUCGAACAGCCUGCUCCUCCUCGCCGAUCCCACGAACAGUUCGUCCAAGCGCCGCAGGUGCAGCGCCUCCGAGGUAUCCACACGUACAGGGAGGAACUCCGUGCGGCGGACUGCUAGAUCCGAUCGCAAGGCUUUGGGCGUGGAGGUGCGACGGCCGAGUCUAACUCGCGUCUGAACUGGGGUUCACCCUAGACGGGUUGGUCUCCUCCACUUAUAUAGACGUCCCUAGUGGGCUCAACACUUGAGGCCCAUUAGGAGUCCAAGCCCGAUACGAGUUGGAUCCGAUCCAACUCGGUUCCUACCCCUUAAGCGUGUGACCCUUCAGGUUCGCGGUCAGUCGGCCACGACUACAAGCUCGGACCGCGGGCCCGAGUAACACCUUACUCGUCCACUGGCACCGACUCAAGUCGAUAGUUGGUAGCGGCGCCUAGCAGCACGUGCCAACUCCCGAGUAACCACAAGGUAUAUUGACGAACCAUACAAUGUGUCAUAUGCAACAUUCCUUUUGCCUCGCGAUAUGUGUGUCGAGCUCAAGGCGAGUGCGUGUCAUCCUUGUGGAUAGCUCGAGUCUCUUCUCGUUCCUGUGAUACAGAUUCCCGAACGGGUUAACACUUAACCCAAGUCACAUGGCCAUGCUUUCCGAAUCUGAUCACUCGAGAGGGCCCAGAGAUAUCUCUCCGAACAGGAGGGGCAAAUCCCAUCUUGAUCAACCAUGACUCGCAGCAUGCUUCUCAGCAAACCCGAAAACUACCUUUAUAACCACCCAGUUACGGAGUAGCGUUUGGCAACCCCUAAGUAGGCCGAUUCACAUCCCAAGCUCAUACGAUGACCUCAGGUCUAGGACUGGCAUAUACAUCGUACUUGAGACUAACAAAUGACAAUCAUCUCGUUGUGUCUCAGUGCGGGUCUGUCCGACUCAACAAUCUCAUUUUCGAGUCCAUGCUAUCAGUCGGCAACACCUUGCCCUAUGACUUGUGAAACAUAGUCAUCAUACUGAUUCACAUUGCUAGUCUAGAUUAUGUAUCCGCAUAACCUCAAUGACUAGGGACCAUUAGAACAACAUCAUAGAAUACAUAGUCUCACAAACAAAUCACGUAUUUAUUGAUACAUAUCAGUGAUGAUGUUCAAGGACAAUAACAAUAACUCAUGAAUACAUAGGAAAUAACAUCAUCACAUAAUUGCCUCUAGGGCAUAUCUCCAACAGUUGUGGCUCCCCCUCGGCGUCUUCUUCCUUUGCUUCUUACCGGGAGUUUCAGAACUGUCUUCCACCCGUCGCUCGUUGUCGCGCUCUUCUGAACGAGAGCUACCUGAGCCAGAGCUGGCAAUUUGCUCUCCCGAUGAAGACUCUUCAUUGACACGAUCUACCUCCUCCCGAUCAAGAACAGGUUUCUGGCUACUCUUGCCCAUUUCGAACUAUGCCAUCAAAACCAUCAAAUAUAUAUCGGCCGAAAAUUUCGGCAUGAUCUAUGCUAAAAAACUAGAAAUUUUUCUCUACUAAUAGCUCAAAACCUGCAUAAAAAACCCACCCGCAUAUGUACCCCCUCGGCACGAUGGCCGGCCCCUUCUCCAAUGACCCGACACGAUGGUCGGGCUCACAAUUCAUUACUCAAUUCUCCAAAAUAGCAUAUAAAACAUCAUGUAUAUAGCAUAUAAAAAACUACAAUGCAUAUACUCAUGUGUGCUAUAUAUUAUCAAAUGCAUAUAUUCAUGUGUGCUAUAUAUAAAAAAUUACAAUGGAAAUGUACUAACCCUAAAUUAACCCUACAAUAUACUAACCCUAUAUCAAAUUCACAAUAUGUGUGCCCAUCUAACUCAAUUAUCCACUACUACAAACUACAAUGCUAAUCCUAAAUUAACAUGCUUCUUUUCCUAAAUCCUAACUUUAAAUUAACAGCAACAAAUCCUAACCCUAAAUUAACUGGAACAAGUCCUAACCCUAACCCUAAAUGAAGCUAAAUCAGAGGAGAGGGAGGGAGGCAGAGGAGAAGGAGGCAGAGGAGGUAGAGAAGGCGUGCACCUGUCGCUCGGGGAGGACAGAGACGGCGCGGGCUCGGUGAGGAGGGAGACGGCGGCGCUCAGGGAGGAGGGAGAAGGCGGCGCGGGGUGGCAGCGGUCGGGGUGGCGACGGUCAGGGUCGACGGGCAAGGGGUCGAUGGCGAGGACGAGGCUCGGGCUCGGGGACGACGGUGCUCGACGCGGGGCAGCGGGCUCGGGGUCGACGGUGGCGGCGGCGAAAAAAUCCGGCAGCGCUUCGCUCUUCUAGGGUUAAUCGCCCACUGUUGGUCGCUCCUUGUGUUGAGGACGCGCGGGCGGAAUAACCCUAGAUUUCACUAAGUGUUCCUUUAUAUACCCCAUGCACAAGAGUAACGGGCGGAUAAGGGAGGCGACUGUUACUGAUGAUCCUUCGAUCAUCAGUAACGGUCGCGCUAGAAAGCACCCGCCACUGAUGUUCACCGAAGUGCAAUGCCCAUCUACUCAUCAGUAACGGGCGCGUAGAAGCCUGACCGUUACUGAUGAGUAUAGGCACUCAUCAGUAACGGACGCAUAGCAGCCUGGCCGUUACUGAUGAGUAUAGGACAUGGACUCCAUUUCUCUAGUAUUUGUACAUCAUGGAAUUCAUGUAUUUAAAGUUUGAUGAAUAAAUUCAUGCAUUUCUCUAGUAUUUUUGCUAAAUUAAAUUCAAAAAAUUCAUCACAUGCAUACACAAAAAUUCAUCACAUAAUUUCACUUAGUACAAAGUUUGCAUUAAUAUUCAGUACGAGUACAUUUUUACAAUGUGACUACUAGUGCUUCUUCUUCCUUCGGUAAGUCAUAACUUGACUCCUCGCAGAACUGCUUCUGAGGUAGGGUUUUGUGGUAUUUUCUCGCUCCCAUCACUUCUUCUUUUCCCUCUCCUUUUCCUCGUUAAUAUCGUGCGUUCCGCUUUUUCAUCAUCUGCGGCGAUCGUCGGAUCAUGGAAACCUUCGUAGUCUUCUUGUGAAGUAACUCCGUCCACUCCAACAAUGCUUCUUUUCCCUCUUCUUACUAUGACGCGGCCUUUAUUUGCCGGGUCAUCUAUGUAAAAACCUGCUUGAAUUGUUUAGCAAAGACCCAUGGUUCCUCUCUUGCCAGGAUUUUUCUCACGUCGACUUGUUCACGAGGGAUCUCAGGUGGUAGCACCAUCGUCGUGAACUUGUGACUUUCUUCUUUGCCACCUUUGGUCCAUCUUACACGGAACAUUGGGAUCUUUGUGAUCGAGUACUCCAAUUCCCAGAUCUCCUCGAUAACGCCGAAGAACGCUUUGGUUUUGCUGUUGUCGUCGGUCGCGGUCUCAGAAGUCAUGACUACACCACUAUUUUGAUACGUGCUUUUACGGUCCUGAGACACGGUGUAGAAGUUAUAGCCGUUGAUCGCAUAUGAUUGCCAAGUAGAGACGUGAUAAGUAGGUUCCCGUGUCAAGCAUGCAACCGUUUCUUCUGAUACAUUGGUCAUCUCCCUGCCGUACCAAUAAUUCUUCAGCCACCUUUCGAAUGUUUUAUUGUGCUCCCAAUGGAUCAAGACUUCUGCUCUUUUAAGGUUUUCAUUUUGCAGUUGUUCCAUGUGCAUUUUCUGAUAAGGCCGGCAGCAAUCGGCAGUUUGCAACACAACCAAAUGUGCUCUUUCAAAGUCAGCUUCCCUUCCUCUUCCAUAGACAUUAAGGUAUGUAUGUCCAAGGCCACCUUCGCCAUCGAGCUUGCCCUUGUGCCGUGAUUCGGGAACACCUAUUGAUUUCUGAUCGGCCAACCAAUCCGUGCAGAACUCGAUGCACUCUUCUGCCCUAAAGCUUUUCACGAUGCUACCUUCCGGACGCGAUCUGUUACGAACGUACCGCUUCUGAACCCUGUUGUAUCGUUCAGGGCCAUACAUGUUAUGCAGGAACGAGGGCCCUAGGGACAAGAUCUCAUCGCAUAUGUGGAUCACUAGAUGGACCAUGGUAUCGAAGAAUGAUGGAGGGAAGAACAUCUCGAGCUUGCACAGAAUCUGUAUCAUAAUAUCCUUCAAUAUUUGGCAUCGUCUAAUGGUGAUUGACUUCUGCGAUAUGCUGUCAAAAAAAUCAGAAAGCUUCAUGAUUGUCUCCCUUACGUGCGGCUCCAUGAUACCUCUGAUUGCGACUGGAAGUAACUGAGUGAGUAUGACAUGGUUGUCGUGAGACUUCAUGCCAGAUAGCUUGUGACUCUUCAUGUCAACUAGAUGCUUGAUGCUCGACGAGUAGUUCGAUGGGACUUUAACGCCCUCCAGACACUGGCACAUCUUAUUCAACUCGUCUUUGUACAGGUUGUAACAUGAAAGACGACACCGCGUGGUCACCGUCAAGAAACCAUUCUUGUCGGCUGCCGACACUUGAUCUUUGCCCCACAACUCUUUCCUGAUAGACAUGAGUUGUAGGUCCUUCCGUGCAUUGGGUCCAUCUUUCGUCUUCUCUGGAUUGUUCAUCAACAACCCCAGCACGUUGUCGCAUACAUUUUUCUCCACGUGCAUUACAUCUAUGCUGUGGCGGCAUUCCAAAUGUGCCUAGUACUCCAGGUCCCAGAAUACGGACCUCCUUUUACACACGACGCCUUCAGGUUCCUUAUAUUUCUUCGCAGAAAUCUUUCCGGGGACAACUUCAAGAUCGUUCACAAUUUCGAGGAUUUGCAUACCAGACUUCUCUUUCGGCGCUGUCCCGUGCUCCAUCUUCCCAUUGAACAUUUCCUUGUCAUCCCUCCAAGGGUCUUUAGCAUCCAACCACUUUCGGUGGCACAUGUAAACAAUUUUGGAUGAAGCGGGCAAGUUCUCCGAUGUCGUGUUUUCCCCGCACUUUGUACGGGCCUUGUAGCCAUGUGUCACCUGGCAUGAAGUAUUUCCAUUCGCGGGGUAGUCAUGCACGCAGGUCAGAAGUGCUGCUCUCAUCGUGAAGUACUCCCUCCUGUUUGCGUCCCAAACCACUCUGCCAGGGUUCCAAAACUGCUUCAGCUCAUCCUUCACUAGCUGCAGAUACACAUUUAGGUCAGCUCCCGGCUGCUUUGUACCCUGUAUGAGCAUGCACAUGUGGAUGUACUUUCUCUUCAUGAUUAACCAUGGAGGAAGGUUGUAAACAAACAAGAUCACUGGCGCUUGUUGUUCAUAAUUCCAAAAAGAUUUAUCCCGUCAGUGCUGAGACCGAGCCUCAGGUUUCUGGGCUCUGCCCCAAAAUCAGGAAAUGUCGUGUCGAAGUUCCUCCACUGAGUCCCAUCGGCAGGGUGUCUUAGGACCCCAGCUUCCUCCACACGGUAGUGCCCGUCAGGAUCGAAUGCAGCCUGCGCCGGAUCGUGAUAGACGAGAUACCUCGCGUCCUUAACGUUCUGCAUCCAACGCUCAACUUGGCCACCUGCCGUAAGAUACCAGACAGUCUUUGCCGGCCUGCCCUUCAUCACUUCUUCCCCAUCGUCUUCGCCAGCUCUGGCGUUUUUCUUCUUGUAUCUCGAUGCACCGCAUAUGUGGCAGCUCUCAUGGUUCUCGUACUCUCCAAUGUAUACCAUGCAGUCGUUUGGACAUGAUGAUGUUUCACACAAUCUAAUUCAAGCGGGCAUGUAAUCUUCUUCGCCUCCUAUGUGUUCUUGGGCAACUUGUUUGGUUGUGAAAAAACCGAAGCAAGGUAACUCAACAAGUUCGUGAAGCCCUUGUCUGCCAGCAUGAUGCUGCCUUCAGCCUCAAAAGUUCGAGCGUCACUUCGAGCACGUGGUUUUUUUUGCCAGCUCCAUCAUACAAGGGUGUAUUUGCGCCCUCCAACAAUUUUUUGAACUGAGCAGACUCUGCUUCAUCUUCGGGGUCCUCCAGCUGCUCCCGUAGGUACGGGUCAUCUAGCAUUUCGGUAAUCCUGUCUCGUGGAGCUCCUUCACCUUCCACAUUAGCCUCCUCAUCGACCCUUGUUUCUUCCUCGGAAUCAUUCGCCAGAUCAUACCGCAGGACAUCAUCAUCUUCGCUACCGCUACCGACAUCAACCACAUCCUCCCCGUGACAAGUCCGGCGAGAAUAAUCUUCCACAAAACCCGAUGCCAUCACGUGCAUCUGAACAUCUUCAGGCUUCAUCAUGCAUGUGUUUCCACAUUUGCGACAUGGACAAUGCAUCAUCAAAAGUCAUUUUUGUUCCAUAUCACCUUUCGCGACUCCAAAAAAGACCGUCCAUUCGGUUAUCCAUUGAGCAUUGAUUCUUUCCUUGGCGUACAUCCAAAAACGGUCUUUCGAUCUACAACACAAUACACAAGAAAACAAACAAAGCAAAAUAGUUGGCAUAAUCAUUGACAAGGGAAUUAAGGUGUUAAUUAACCGGAGCUAACUAAAAAUUUGAAAUUAGAGACAUUCGGAGAGAAAUUGGAGGCCGGCGAGAAAGAUCGAGAGGGAGAGAGAGCUCGCAAGCGACAGGAAAGCUCCGGGCGACGACGAGGAGGCUGCAUUUUGGCCGGCGGCCGCGGAGCUCAAAAAUUUGAAAUUGGGGAACUUCGGAGAGAAAUUGGAGGCCGGCGAGAGAGAUCGGGAGGGAGAGAUAGAUCGGGAGAGAGAUCGGGAGGGAGAGAUAGAUCGGGAGAGAGAGGGAAGCUUCGGGGUCGAGAAUCAGAGCUCGCUGGCCGUCGGAGCUCCAAAAAUGGAGAUCGGCAGCCAUGGCCGCCCGCCAGCCAUGGAGACGGCGCCGCCGACGCGAGGGGGAGAGAGGAGGAAGGGGGAGGGAGGAGGGGCUACCUGGGGGGCUCGCCGGCGGCCAUGGCGUCGUCGGGCAGCGCCUCGCUGUCGCCGGAAGUGAAGGAGCCACAGCUCGUCCGUUACGACGCGCAGCGCGACGAGCUGCGGCUCUGCCCAACGAAUUUAAAUCGCGACGCAUCAGUGGCGAUCGGGAAACGGGCGACCGUUACUGAUAAUCGUGGACACAUCAGUAACGGUCGCGUUGGGUCGACCGUUACUGAUGCGUGGUUCAUCAGUGGCGGUCCCCUUGCGCGACCGCCACUGAUGUACGGCUGGGCGGGGACGGGCAAAGCCCGUUGUGUUCAUCAGUAACGGUCGCGGCCGCGACCGACACUGAUGUUAUUCAUCAGUAACGGUCACGCCGGACCCGUUACUGAUGUGCCGUUGCAUAUAGACCAUUUUGUAGUAGUGUAGAUGUGACUAUGUCGCAGCUGACUCAAUCGCUUGAUUUUUAGUUUAAGCAAAAAACGCUUAAAUCUAAGUUGACACAUCAUGACAUCAAAGCCAUUGAAAUACGGUUUUGCUAUAUCUGAAUUGUCUGAUUUUUAGCUAGAGAUCAGAUGAUUCCUCAACCAUUGGAUAUGUUUUUACGCUUUAACAUUCAGAACGAACGAUGAAAGGAAAAGAGUGGGAUGGCUUCCAAAUAAUAAUUGAACGGUUGUGAUACAUCAACUGAGAUUUCACUAUUUUUCUUAAAAAUUGGGCAACUAAGAUAUAGCCACAUCCAUUGAAAUACGGUCUAUCCGCAGUUGUCCUAUCCUCCCUCUCCCACGUUCUGUCGUUGUAUUAAGAUGUGAUCGUCAAGCAAAUCGACUGUUCGCUGACUAAAAAAUGUACAAGUUUCUUAUACCAAAACCGGCAACGCUUAAUUCUAUCCGAACAACUUAAUUGUCUUUGCACAACUGCACUGGUAUGUUUCUCCUUCUAAUAAACGCGAAGAGACAACACCCGUACGUACGGAUGCAACAGCGACAUCGGUGGACCACGGCACGGACACACCUACACCAGGGAGUAGUUGUGUAUGGGCGCAAUACGUACGGACAGUUUUUGUACGGUAUUUGUAGCUUGCGCGCCACAGGUGAAUGUCACGUUCCCAGGUAGGAGACAUGCACGUCUAUGUAGCUUUUGGGCUGCAGCAACAUCCAUCUCCAUCUCUUUAUGACUUUAUCUACUCGCUCUGGCCACCUCUCUUCAAACGACUUAAAUUUGUCUAAAAAUAAACGUAUCUAUAUACUAAACGGUUUUGCUAUUGAUAAGUCGCGAUCAAUUGACAUGUGAGCCAUCGGAUCGUAAUCCAAUAUAUAAUACUUCCUCCGUUUCAUAACUCUUGUCUCAAAUUUGCCUAAAAAUGAAUGUAUCCAUUCCUAAAAAACGUUUAGUUACAUGUAAUAUUUUAACGACUUAGAAAUAGCCACACCAUAUAUACUAAAAUACUUCUAGAUACAUGUAAUAUUUAGGCACUUCACAUUGGACGGAGUAAGUAAUAAUUUUCAAGCGAAAAAUUAAUUGGGCCUAUUUCUAUAUUCACUCGUGUCAUCUCCAACAAGGUACUAGUUAGUACCAGUACUAAAAAAUUUCUCUCCUUUUUUCAAUGUGUUUCAAUUUUUUUCUUAUUUAUUUCUUUUUUUGAUAGACCCACGUGUCAUCUUCUUUGUUGUCUUGAUAUCCGUGUAGUACAUGUUAUUUUUCAAACGACCAUUAUUUGGUUGUGUCAUUCUUCUCUCAUUUACAUUGACCACUAAUUUUCUUGGUACCUGUGUAGUAUCUCUUGUGGGAUGCCUUUUGCAACCUUGGGUCAGCCAGCCAUGCGUGAUUCCAGCAAGGCCGAUACACGCACGGCCUACCAAGACAUGGAUUGGGAACCUACGAUGAGCUUUAGCCUUUAGCCCAUGCUAUAUGGAUAAUUGAUUUUGGUUCUCAUGGAUCGAGCAGCGGAGACUUAUUAACGCAAGGCUUUGCCAAAAAUCAAGCUCAUCGUUGAUAGUAUGAUCUUGUAGCCUGAACUAAAAUAAUGUAUUUGUAAAAUGAAAAAAAGGUCGUAAGGAAGAAUAAAAUGGUUUCCUAUGCUGCUAUGUGCUAUCGACGGAUGCGUCGUCUAAUCGUUGCUAUGGACCAUACAGAUGCGGCAUGACAUCUCGACAUCCAUCUGGAGUUAAAUUCCAGUCCUCUGUUAUAUAGUAAAAGCAAUAUGAAGAGUAUUGAGGAGAGGUUUCACGUUGAUUCACGUCACCUCAAUUAGUUUGACCGUUGGAUAGAAGAUCCGAGGAUCAUAAAUUGUUUGUCCAAACAUAUGUUACGUUGCUAAAUCCUCUAGAGUCCCACACGAUUUCCGUUAAAAAAAUAUGUCACAUUAAAACAUGUCACGUUAUCGCACUAAAUCCCGCCCCUCACGAUUUCCAUUAAAAACAAAGAACCGGACUCUUGGUUUUAUACGCGCUUUGCACGGACGGUACAGAAGAUCGAUUAACAGCAGAGCAAUUAAAACUUCCUUUCAAAAAAAAAAAUUAACACGUACGAUAAAUUCUCGGCAGAUCUAACACCAGUUCCCACCAGUCCAUAUCUUUCUAUGCGCGUUCAACAGCAGUAUCUGUCAAUCUAUUAUGUUAUCUAUUUUUAUCUAGGAAACCAUGCCGCGGCACGACGAUGCGCGCACGACGCCCAGCUGAGCAGCUCCUGUUGUGCUUGCAAUGCAGUCUUACGCAAGAAAAAAAAGAGAGGAUGCAUGCAUCUCUAGGUCCAGUGCAGCACCAUGCAGACGGCGUCGCGCACGGAGGCAAACUAGCUGAACUGCGAGCGUUAGUUCUGUUUUAUCUAUUCUAUCGUUACUCCUUCGAUUUGAGUGUCACUGAAUUUGUACAAAAUACUAAAUUAACAACACUUAUUAUGGAUCGGAAUAAGUAAAUAUAAAAAGCAAUAUGAGCAGCACCGAGGAGAGGCACCGCACUCAUCCACCUCAUCCUAAUUAUCUGGUCCGUUAGAACUGAUAUUCGAUGGUUAACAUUUAGGGAGUAGGAUAUAUCUAAUGGGUUGGACAAAACAUCAUUCAAGGCCCACAUAGGCCUAAUAUUCCAUAUAAGCCAAAAGUCUAUUUGUAUUGUGCCAAACGUAACAUACUACGUUCUACGACAAAUAUGUAUGAUAUCACAACUUUUUUUCAUUAUUUUUUGUAAUGGAUCGCGAGAAUAUUAAGUAGUAAACUAUUCAUUAUCUUUUAUCUAUAUUAUGAAAGCACGAGGAGGGCUAUGAGGGGAGGCACCAUGCUGAUCCACAUAAUCUAAAUUAUUUUAACCGUUAAAUCUCAUAUUUGAUGACUACGAUUUAAUUAGGUGGAUAUAUCUGAUGGGUCAAAGACUAAACAUCAAAGUGAUUUGAGACCAACAUAGGCCCAAUAUGCUAGAUAGGCCAAAUAGUUCUUUACAUGAUUCCAAACGCACAAAUGACCAAUCAGUUUGAUUUGCAUCAUCUGAAUUGUUUAAACCGUUAUAUAAUAAAGCACAGUAUAGGGCACUAGCGUUGAUCCACAUAAUCUGAAUUAUUGAAACUAUUAGAUCUUGAUUUGUAUGGUGUCAAAAACAAUAUGCAAAGACCGUUGCACGAUCAAUAUGUUAAGACCUCUCAACUUUAUUUCCCUUAUAUGUCUUCUGAAUCAUGAGAAUAUUAGGUAGUAAACCUAGCUCCAUUCAUCAUAAUCUAUAUUUAUGCAAGAGGAUUAAUUAUCAACGAGCGUUUAAAGAAUUAAAAAAACAUUUUUUAGGAUUACGAGAAUAUGAAGUAGUAACCUCCUCUCAAUCCGUCAUAAUCAAUAUUUAUGAAAGGAUUAUUUAUUAACAAGCAUUUAAAGAAUUAUAAUUGUACAUCCUAACACGUAAACAGAACAUAUUGCAUUAAUGAUUAAAAAAAGUUACGACCAUGGGCAGAUCCACCUUGGGGGCACCAUGGACACGUGCCCAGGUUUCUGGGUUGUGUAUCCAAAAGGGAAGCAACGACUCUAAUGGUGUCACGUGGCAGAAUUGUGAAGCUUAAGCCCGAGCACAUAGGCUAUAGACUUAGGCUAGCUCCACCAAUGGUUAUGACAUGACCAUUUUUUCAAUGUUUUCGACAGAUAAGAGAAUAUAAAGUAGUAAGCUCACCUCUAUUCAUUAUAAUCUACGUCUAUAUUUUUGCAAAGGUGAGUUAUUAACGGUCAUUUAAAGAAUUACAACUCUACAUGCUAACAUGUGAUCCUAAAGUUAACUAUGGAUACUAAUUAACAUCAUAUAUGAGCGACUAACUAGAUAUCGAAUAAAAAACAAUUACUAAUCAAAUAUCACUACAAAGCCAAAAGGCAAAUGACUAGCUCACGAUCUAAACUUUGAUCAAGUAUAGAUAAAAUAAUCAUGUAAAAGACCUCACAUAAGGAUUUAUUAUUAAAAAAAUCUACUUAUAUAGCUUGGCAUACACACAACACGUCAGUGCAAACAAGUGAUUGACUAAUCCAGCUUGUGAAGUUUAAACUUUUGUAAAUAAUAAUAUACACAAUCAGUCGUCUCAUGAUCAGUCAUCUCAGGUGCGACCAUCAUCUCACAACAAUCAAUUAGUUUAACGCACACAUUGAUCAACCAAUCAGGCUCACAUUGUAAACUUAAAAUUGUGAAUUACGAUCUAAAGCCACAUAAAAAUAAAACGUUGCGUCAUAUUCAAAACACAAUAAUUUCAUACUUCUAAGAGUAGUGUGAUUAGUUAAAUGUGCUUUCCUAGAUGUAGGUUUUGUUAGUUGAUCUGCCUUUAUAGCUAUUGUUGUUGUUCUCGACAACAAUUAGAGUAAGGGGUGCCAAUGCUCGAUGGCACAAGUGCGGGUGUAAAUGUAGGGCGUGUACGCCGGCCUUAUAGCGAAGGUUGUCGUACACUUGGACAAGUUGACACGUCAAUAUUUUUUGAAUAUGUUCGGUCGACCCUGCAGGUGCGACUUAAUCCUAUGUUAGGAAAAGCUUCGAGGGGGUUGUUAGCCGAGGGUUUGGGCCGAGCGGAUCUUCCCAAGACACCUUUAGGCGAGAGGUCCGUCGGGGCCGCUCGUACUUGGACCGAACGCGUAUUUCCAAGUAUCGAGGUUAGGAUUCCCUCGGAACUCUAACCCAACCCCUUCUCCUUCGAGUCCGGGCCGAACGCGUCUUCCCGGAUCUCGAAACUAGAGCUCUUUGCAAGAGACUCUAGCCCUCUCCCUUGAGUUUAUUCAAGUGAGAGUGAAUGAUACAUGCCCUCAUGUGGGGUAUUUAAAGCCUAGGGGUCCAUGACAAAUGACCAUGGCUACCCUUGAGGGAGAGAGAAAAGUGGAGGCAAAAGGAUAAAAGUAGGUCCUUUGGUCCAUAGCUUUUGUGUGCACCAUGAGAGAAAAGUAGGGUUUGGUCCAUGGUCCACCAUGGACCAAGGGCCCUCCUCUCACUUUUCUUGCUCCCCACUCUAACUCAUUUGACCCCUUGACCAUGGCAUGAGAGGCUUGACUUGUUGACUAGUUUUCCUCUGCCACGUAGGAUUGACCGCGCCACGUAGGUGUCUUUGACUCGUGCUUGCGGAAUGUUGACUUGGUCGCCAUCACAUAGGAUUUACGGCUCGGCCCAUAUAAGGGUUUAUUUUACUACUAUUCUUCAAAUUUUAUUUGAGUGUAUAUGUGUAGUGAGGUUUAUUAAUUUUGCAUUUCGAAAAAAUCAAUCGUGAACAUGGUUCGUGAAGGAACUUUUAAUUUCCUAUUUUCAUACUGGUCUAAUAGCACAUACCAGUGACAUGCCUUUGUCAUUUUUUUGUGCUUUAAAAAUAAUACAAAUACAAUAAUAAAUAUCUUUAAUAAAGAUGUUUUGCACGGGACACCUUGCUAGUUCUUUAAUUAAUGCAAAAAAGGGAAAUAUCAGGAAAACAUAGCUUAUGCAUUUUUUUUGUAAAUCCGGUACGCAUAUCCAUUUAACUGGUUUAAGUAACACUAAAGUAACAUAUCUUGGAGGGAAGCGCCGUCGCCGCGUCGUAUAAUUGCCUUAAAAAAAAGAUACUCUUUCCGUUUCAUAAUUUUUAUCUCAAAAUUUGCCCCCAAAAUAAUGUAUUUAUUUAUAAGAAAUGUUUAGAUUCAUGUAAUAUUUCGACAAAAAUUAUUAAACUGAGGGAGUAUCUCUUGUCCGUCGAGCACAUACUGCAUAAGCAUGCACACGCAGGUUGUGUCUCUGGUCUCUUCUGCGGUCAUUUGCAGUUUCGCGCUAAACUGACUAACGAACACUUCAAAGUUUAAAAAAAUAAAAAAAAAAAUAGCGAGAGCACCUGGUUGCGGGCUUGCUGCAGGAGCUCAAAGUUAAAUUGAUGCUCCUGUCGCCUAUAUAUACGAGCCAGUAGCUCCUUCAUCACAGCAUCAAGAUCACCACCACAAGUGCAUCUGUGCAAAGCGUGAAAAACAGAGCAAAACAUCCUCUGCCUCAGCCCGCGAAGCCAGCUCCUCUCCCCUGUUCCUACUCUGUUUCCCUCACUCACUGACUCACUCGAGAGUUCCUAGUGGAACGCGAGGCUUUGCUCGGGACCCGGCCAUGGUGGCGAUCAAGGCGCCGAGCUCCAUCGACCACGCGAACCCGCUGACCAAGUCCCCCAAGGCCGCAGCAGCAGCAGCAGCAGCGAUCCCGACGGUGGACCUGUCGUCCCCGGGCGCGGCGAGGGCCGUGGCGGAUGCCUGCCGCGGCGUGGGCUUCUUCCGGGCCACCAACCACGGCAUCCCCAGCUCGCUCGCCGCAGCGCUCGAGGCCCGCGCCAUGGCCUUCUUCGCGCUCCCGCACGAAGACAAGGUGGACGCCACCAUUGCCGCGGCCGCCCGGAGGCCCUUCGGGUACGGCAGCAGGAGCAUCGGCUCCAACGGCGACGUCGGCUGGCUCGAGUACCUCCUCCUCUCCCUCGGCUCAAACUCAAACUCCAGCUCCAUCCCAGGAGCUUCCUCCCUCCCGCCAUCGCUCCGGGCGGCGCUGGAGGAGUACACGGGAGCGGUGAGGAACGCGAGCGGGAAGGUGCUGGAGCUAAUGGCGGAGGGGCUGGGGAUGCAGGAGAGAUGUGCGCUGAGAAGGAUGGUGGAUGGAAGCGAGGAAGAGCUUGUCAGGGUGAACCAUUACCCGCCGACCAAGGAAGAAGACUGCGUGGCGGGGAUGACGGGGUUCGGGGAGCACACGGACCCGCAGAUCAUCUCCCUGCUCCGGUCCAACCGCACGGCCGGGCUCCAGAUUAAGCUCCAAGGACCCGACGCGCCAUGGGUCAACGUGGCUCCCGACCCGGAUUCCCUCUUCGUCAACGUCGGCGACUGCUUGCAGGUGCUGACGAACGGGCGGUUCAGGAGCGUGAAGCACAGGGUGGUGGCGCCGGAAGGGGCGCAGGCGUCGAGGCUGUCGGUGAUCUACUUCGGCGGGCCGGCGCCGGCGCAGAGGAUCGCGCCGCUGCCGGAGCUGAUGAGGGAGGGCGAGCAGAGCCUCUACAGGGACUUCACCUGGGGGGAGUACAAGGCGGCUGCCUACAAGACCCGCCUCGGCGACAACCGCCUCGGCCCCUACGAGCUGCGCAACGUCGCAGAUACUAAUCCGACGGCUCUGAUCACCGCCUCCAAGGAACCCACAGCCGCCGAUCACUGCUGCAGCAACAGCAGCAGCAGCAGCGCCGCCUGCGUCGUCGUCCAGCCGCCGCACGUAGCACAAGUGCACUAGCUAAGCUAGCUGAUGUCCGGCCGGCGGCUACUGUCGAUCGUUGGUCGGUCGUUUGAUGUGUAAUCCAGAUGUGGUAACUAAAGCUAGCUGUACGUGUGCCUGCCUGCUUUCCCAGCCCAAAAUUGGCAUGCGCCUGCGAAAAUGCCUCUCCCGCAUGCUCUGCUUCGUCCCGGUUUCAGUUUGUCCUUUCUGGGAAAACAUUUGUAACUUCCGCUAGUAGUAGUAGUAGGCUCGUAGCUGCAAGCCUGCAAGUGUGCUGCACCCUUUUGUCACCGGCAGUUUAACAGCUUGAAUCGCACGCUAUAUGCUGCCUGGUGUACUGUAAAUUAACGGCCCUAUUGUUCCGAUUGUCUUUGUGUGUUACUUACUUCUAGAGUACAAGUUAACUGGAGUACUAAGUGACAACGUUGUAAAAAAGCCCCCCUCUUCGCUUCUUUGGGGCCUUUUGUGCCGUAUAAGAAGUUAAGUACUUCAGAGGAAGAAGGAAACAGUUCAGUUUAGAUUCUACACGGUGCCAACCCCCGAUGCAUCAUCAAGACAUCAAGGUUCAGAUCAGACGACAGGGCUCGAGCCGUGCUCGGUAACAGCUCACGUCCGCUUGUUACAACUAGACGAGCCCCGUACGUUGUCGUGGAAAUUUUUAGUUAACAUACGUGAGCCCACGUUGUUGAGAACAUACAUGAAUGAAAAAUAGCAACAAAAGAGUAUUCAGUGAAAUGUAUAAUGGAAUUGUAUGAUAAAUUAUAGAUCAUUCACUUAGUAAAAAUAGCUUGAUGAAAAAUAGCAUGCAUGCAUGUGCAAAAAAUAUGAGUGUUUCACUAAAUAGAUAUGAACAAAUUAAUAGUGUGAUGAUGUGGCAUGCUUGCAUGUUGAGAGAAAUCAAGUAGCAGUAGCAUGUUCUUCUCCUUAGAUAUGGAAGAUUAGUGCUGUGCGUGGUACGGUUCGAGCUGAUCCAAGAGAAACGUGGUAUCUACGGAUCGGAUGUUCGGUUUACAAAAAAAAUCGGAACAACUAAAUCCUAUCCAAUUGAACCAUUGAUUCACCGGUUCGAACCUUCCUGUUCCUCAGGCCGAGGCAGCGAUUGAUCUCUCCAAUUCCUCGAUUUGCUGCUGCUGCCGCCGCCGCCGCUAAGCCCCACCGUGGUCGCCGCCGCCGUCUCCUUCAGUGCAAGUGAUCACAGUUCGCACCGCCUGCAAAUCCGCUCCCUCCCCACCCCCUCAGCGGCUCGCCGCCUUCAAAGCCGAAGCCAAGACGACUCCGCCGCUAAGACCAUCGGCGGCCGCCUCCGCAUCCCACGCCGCCACCGGGUGGAUUCGUCUCCAUCGCGCCGGCGCCCCCAACUCCCCGCCAACCUCCACCAUUACCCUGCUGUCGAUUCAGCGAGAUUGAAGUUUUUCUACCUCCGUCCCAGGCGCGCACUGCAGCCGAGCAGGCGACGAAAAUAACUCCUCCAUUACCCUGCUGUCGGCAACCUUCUUCGAGCUUUGAGCUAUUCGGCUUUUCCGGCCUGCAGCAGAGCAGCCGACGAGAGCCCUCUGGCAAGACGAAGCAUGCUGUUCUUUUCGGUAUGCAGUAUGCGCAGGCAAUUUAGGUUCGAACCAAAAGAUCCAUUGGAUCGUGUGGAUCACGGAUGCUGCUCCAAUGGAUCGAACCUUUUUACUCCCUUGCACCCUAGGUACGUGAAGUUUGGUGCGGUUCAGAGCCGGUACGAGCCACGCCCACCCCUAGUUACAAUCCGUUUUACUAAACCAACUAGUGGAAUGUCCGUGCUUCGUGACGGCUGAUGUUCAACAUAUAAUGGAAACGAAUAUUGAAAAGAAGGUGCAUAUCGUUUGCACGGAAUACAUAUCGGCCAUACCCAAUUGCUAUGAUAACAAAAUUCGACAAUACCAAAACAUUGAAAAACGACGAUAAAUAAUAUGAGAACUCAAGAAUACAGAACUUGGUUCAUACAUAGGAUGCGGUACAAACAGAUCUAUCUAAAGUACCACAUUAAAUAACAUCAAAGAAAGGUAAACUGGAACCAACCUAUAAUAGGGCAAGCUUGUUCAAGUAUAUUACAAUAAAAAUAUGCCUGGAAGGCAAAUUGGAAACAAAGAUCAUGAUUAGUGACAACAAAAACACUUACCACAUCUAUUAGCUGAUGAAAUGGUAGGAGCAAACCUUCACUAACAGCAUACAAGAACGAUGUCGCCAUUCUCUACAGCCUCCCAGAUAUUUUCAAGCCUCUCAUUCCUACAAGGACUUGAGUUGAUAUUAACAACUGGCACAGUUUGGUACCUCUUUUGUACAGUAGGAUAGAAUCACAUAAGGUAGAUUAUAUGUAUCCUGGAGGUUAUGGUAGAUUAAUAUAGACAACUUGUAACAUAUACAUUUUUAUAUUAGUGAUAUACAAGAAAUGGAAGUUGAAGGACUCAGCUACUUAUGGCUAAUGAAUUUGUUCAGGGUUCAGAAGACCGUAACCGGAUGGUUUGAGUUUCCAACGCAUUUGCAGCAUUGCCUUUUUCAAAUUUUAGUAAGCCCCAAAAUUACACCACUGAAAUUAAGCAACCAAACUCAGUAAAGGGAUACGUUCAAAAUGCAGAUAUUACCUUAUUACAUCCAAACAAAACGUAUGAAAUAUCAUGUUUAUGGGAAUUCCUAGAUUAGUGUGAAUAGUCCCAAGAGGAGCAACAAUAUCACCAACAUCCUCCCCGGAAGGCCGAAACAUGGCCCUUAUAGAUUUGGGAUAACACAACAAACCUACAGAUGCAAAGCAUGACAGUGAAACUUUGCUCAUAUGUCAGCUUAUUAGUGCAACCAGAAAACCAUAAUGCUUUUAGAAAAUAUUGGUCACUUGGAAAAAUAAAUAAACACAGAUUCUAGAGUACUAAGUGACAAUGUGUUACCGGUAUUAUGAGCAGCUCUGCAGAAAUCAAAGUUCAGUUCUCACAAACUCAGCUUCAUAUUUCAGUCUAUUUGUUGUUCACCUUUAACCCCACUUCAGGUGGGUUUCAUUCUCAUGCUUCAUGAUAGCAUAAGCAGCAAGUAUACAGUACCUUAGUCUUAAAAAAACAUAUAAUUUUCUUCCCUGUUACAUUGUGUCGUCAGUGGUGUUCCCCAUAUAAUUGACAUAUAUUCUUUGAACAUUCUAAAAGAAAAAAGGGGAUCAAACUUGUUACACACAUGUUCCCCAAAUAAUUGACUUUCUCCUCUAUCAAAAUCUAUUUGACAGAGAGAAUGGGUUAAAAUUCAGAUAUAUUGCCAGACUUACAGUUGUACAUAAUUGAAGUUAAGAACAAAGCAUUUCAAAAAUAAGAAACAAGGGAAUAUGAAACAUAUGAAAUUUGUAAACAAAGAAUGAGCAAAACAACAAAACAUGUGCAUCCAAAACUUAUUUAUUCCUACUUACUACUUACAUGAAUUAUAUUCUGAGUCUUCUGAGUGAGUUCCAGGUACCAAUGAGCCAAAUGGAAUCACGAUCAAAUUCGUUAGCAAGUGAUUGACGAACCGCCUAUGAUUUAUCGAAAUUAUGUCCAAUUAUGCUAUCUCAGAUAAGCAUCAACAUAAAAAUUUCCUACAACAACCUUCAUUUAUAUUAAAAGAUCAUGCAUUUUACUUGACGCUCUUUUACCAAAAUAUUGCAGUAAUCAAGUCAUGACCCAAAGAUUUCCGCACAUUUUACGGACUACAAAAUUAUAAAUCACCACAUGAAUUUAUUUUGUUUCAAAAUACCGCGCCAGAUUGCCAGAAGACCAUGAGUAAGAAAGAAGUGUCUACUCUUGGCAAAAGUCUAAACUACUCCUAAGUGCCCAUCGAUGGAAGGAAAUCUCAAUCAAUACAGGGGCACAUUGAGGAGUAAGACGGAGAGAGGUAUGGAUAGGGUUAGUUACCUUGAGGUGCUGGAUGCCGAACGAGUGGUCCAUGAGGGCCAGGGGAGAGUAUCCGGCGAUGGAGAUCGCCUGCGCAAGGGACGCCGAUGACUGUCAGCAGCAUGGUGCUGCCCCCGCCAAGCGCAGCCUCAACGGUGGCCAACAGGCGGCGGCGGCCAUCGUCUUCAUCAUCCGCCGCUGCUUCAUGUGUGAGGAAGAGGAACGGCGGAGGGCGCCUGCGCAAGGGACGCCGAUGACUGUCGGCAGCAUGGUGCCGCCCCCGCCAAGCGCGGCCUCAACGGUGGCCAACAGGCGGCGACGGCCGUCGUCUUCAUCGUCCGCAAUUGCUUCAUGUGUGAGGAAGAGGAAUGGCGGAGGGCGCCCACGCGGGAGACACUGAUGACGUCGAGCGCCCCGGUGCCGCCCCCGUCGAGCGCGGCCUCGGCGGGGGCCAACUGGCAGUGGAGGCCGCCAUCGUCAUCCGCCGUUGUGUCGUGCGAGAGGAGGGGCGCUGGUGACGAGACGUCUCUGGAGUAGGGGAUGGGAUGGGGACGAUGGCGGAUCUGGAGGGCUAGAAAGGAGGAGGUGGAUCGAGAGAACGGAAAGAACGGGUGCGUGGAGAACGGUGGAACGUGGUGCGGGAGAGAGGAGCUAAUUACGGCCGUGAUUGAUUGUUGGAUUGUUUUUUUUUUAGGGUUCAGAUAGGGAUGGUUUUCUUGGGGUGCGGGGAUCGGACGGGUGGGACGAGUGCGACGGAUGAACGUACGUACCAAACUCGAAAUUAAGUAGUAGUAAAGAUAGGGUGCUAAAUUAGGCAUUUGCAAUGACAGGUGACAGUUCACGUGGGUGCCAUGCUUUCCUUUUCCGUGACAAAUAGUACUCCCUCUGAUUCUAAAUUCUUGACUCAAAUUUGUCAAAAUAUGGAUGUAUCUAUUCUUAAAAAACGUCUACAUACACGUAAUAUUUUGACAAUAAUUUAGUAUUGGAGGGAGUAGUAUGUAUGUAAGGUUCGUGCUAACCUACAUGUUGACCCUACAAGCAAUUUUUUCUUUGAAAGCAUGCCAAAAUGCCAAAUUAGUCCUUAAAAAAAAGCUAGCCAAAUUAAAGCAUCCGGUUUUGUUCCUCAUCGUUCAUUUCCCUCCCUCCCUCCUUCCCUCCCACCCAUGUUGUCGUACAAUUGUUUUUUUUAACGGGUAAGGCUUCUCAUUUCUCAAAUAAUAGUACAAUUGGGUUUACCUGCCAUUUGCUGCCCAGCCACUAAUUGGUGCUUAUCUUCACGCCUUGUCGCCCCCUUGCAAUGGCAUUCAUCGGUUGGUUAAAAAGGGAAAAACAAGUUUGCAGCACCGGUACAUUUGUACAUCCUUUUCUAUCCACGCAACCACGCGAGGCCGGACGACACGUGCUGAUGCGACUGACGGGAAAGCUGGUUUGGACGGAUGAGCAGAGAGAGAGAACCCGCGCUCGAGCCGCACGUCGGUUUCUUCUUGCAGGAUAAACAUUGCACGUACCAAACGAGCAAAAAUAAGGAACCGGGUGCCAUAUAUAUCCACUCGAUCGGCUCGGACUUUGUCGCCGCCGCCGCGGCUGCUGCUCCUGGCGUCCCGCAGACAGAUUCCCACGAGCCUUGGGCUUCAUCACACGGAUGCCUGUUACCACUCGAUCGACCAGCCCAAAUAGUCUAGCCGUCCGGACUUCGCGUGCGUGCUGCUCAUAUAAUUGUUGGUUGCGUGGGGGCAAUUAUUGACGUACGUGUAGGCGCGCGUACUAGGAUUAAUCUAUCGACGACCACCGUCAUUCACGAGGUCCGGUCGCGUUUGCUAUCGAGCCCAGGCUCCUAGCUAGUUCGACCGGAUAAGGCCGUUCCCGAAUCUAGUCUCAGUGGCAGUAGAAGAACAGUAGCAGCAUUCUGGUGUGUUCUCUGCCAUUGCUCAUGGGGAAAUAGCGGUGUGGUUGAUCUGGUGGAUUUUUGUGCGGAACCCGACAAGCAUGCAUAUUAAAUGGCUUAAAUUUGUCAAAUAAAUAUAAAUGCAUCUGAAACCAAAACGGGACGGAGGAAGUACCAGUAGUAUAAAAGAACUGUGCACAUAAUGCAUGGACGAUGAAAUGGCCUCACAUGGCGAUCGACCGCGCGCGCUUAGGGCGCCGGCACACGUAGAAGAGAGCCUCGUGCUCGCGCGCGAGCUGAGCAUAUAGCACGUACGGUCCGAGCGGCGUCCCGGGCGGGGAUCUGCAGCCUAGGCCUGUCCGGGGCGCCGUCGCAUCGGUCGAUCCAUCGAUGGCGGGACACGGGACACACUGCACACAGCACGAACACGUGCGUGCAUGCGCUAGCUGCAUAUGCCAAAUCUGGUCUCGGUUCACGUUGGUACGUACGCGCUCGAUUGAUCGAUCGAUGGACAACUGACGUAUCGAUUCGAUACGUCAGGGAGGGCUACGUACGGAAAGCUAUAGCUAGCGGGGCCGCCAGAAUCGAGCAGGGGCUCGAUCGAUUCAGAUUCGAUUCGAUCUGGGGUCGAGAAAUAUGUGUGUGACUAGCUGCUGCUAUACGCACGUGCAUAAUACUACUGGUAUGCUACACUUCUCGUUAACUAAGAUGAUCUAUCAGCCGGAGGUGGCCCGUUAAAUUGAAGAGAGGGAGAGAGAAACGUUCAAACUGAAAGGAAAAAAUGGUGUAACUAUUUUCAAACAAAGGUAUUAAAUGUCGAUGGACAUGUCAGAGACAUCGGAUCAAGAUCCGAGGGUCAUCCACACUUUCCCCUCCGUAACGUGUUAUCGCUGGAUUAAAAUCUGACGACCAACAGGGGCGGAGUUACAGCGUAGACAUUGGGUUCAGAUGAGGAAUUGGAUCCGAGCCUACACAUAUGAACCCCAUGAUUAUAGUGUAAUGAACCCAGUGGUUUCCUUUUCUGGCUCCACCCGUGACGACCAAUCACGUCGACUUGUCUCUAACUAAAAAAAUACAGACGACUUCUUAAUAGCAAAACAUGAAAAAGGAAUAUAAUGUCUCUGUAAAAUAUAGAAAGACGUGGUUCUCCGUUAAGAUGUUGUGGUUAUUUCUCUUCUGUCAGUUGACCAUUUUUGUCCCCGUCUGAUCCAGCGCCGCUCCGUUACCGUACCAUGUUUUUUCACGUCAUUAUCCGUCCGUAUUCCUUAUUUGUUUUUGCAUUCAUAUCAUGUCCGUGCCGCUUCCAAACCAAUGGAAAUUGUGAAAUAAAAUAUGGUACUAUAUAAAAUCAUUAUCCGGUCCCGUUUUACAUAUAUGCUAUAUUCCUCAAGUAUGUACAUCGAUCGCGGUCUUGUAUGAUUCAAAAACAAAAACGAAAUAUCAGUAGAGAGCAAGCGUACAUGCACACGCAGGAUAUGCUUUCGUUGGUUAAUUCGGUGUACGUACGGACCACCGCGAUGUCUCUGCGCCCGUCGACGUCACACACGCUUACGUGAGUGCGUGCGUACAGUCGGUGAUUAAUCGAUCCGGAAACGUGCCAAUAUAGUCUGCAGCCGCGCCGGCUUUUUAUACUCCCUGCAAUCAAUGCACCCGGCCCUCUCGUUUCGGCCGAAAACUGCAUACCACGCUCGAUCGAAUCAUCCAAGUAUACAGAUACACACAUGCUUCUCGAUGACUCGAUCGAUGGACUUACGGUAUAAUCGUACAGUAGUUGCUUUCGCUUCCAGACGUAGGUACACGGAACGACGAACCGGGAAAAACGGCCCUCCUGCUCCUGGCUUGGAAUCAUUCCACCUCUGGUGGAAAUCCUGGACCACCCGUACGUCCAUAUGCUCCCUUGCGAGUUGCAGACACGUUAUACGUACUCAUGUAAUCGCUCCGUUUCAUAAAAAUUGACACGAUUUUAAAUCAGAACUAAGUUAAAAUCAUGUCAAUCUUCGUGAAACGGAGGAAGUACCUGACAGGAAUGCAUGCAGGGAUCAGGCACUCCAGUUUGGAGUUGGAACGGGGCACACAUGUGGAAAAAGUUUCGAACUAACAAGGUGGCGACUGCGACCAAAGCCAGAACCAUUUUUUGUCGAGCACGAUCGAUCGACCUGCAGCGCCAGAGCCACUAGAGGGCCCAGAUCAGCUUGCCCCGCCCCAAUUCCAUGCGUUCCGGUUGUUUCCUUUCGAGCCCCCUGCCCCAGUUGCCUGCCCUUUUAUCUCUCAGCGAUCAGUUACGUUCAUGCAUUCUUGGCCACACGUACCUACACUACAAUCGGUACUACUACGUACAUGCGAGAUAGCUAUGUCCCGAUCGAGCCUGCAAUUAACGGCAACUCGACCGAUCAAUCUGCAAGUAGAGACAGUAAUCUCGAAUUUGGUUCAAAAGCAGGCAGCGAAUCCUGGAACGACCAAGUUACACGGUACUCCUAUGUAAGCUAGUACUAGUACAACUAGUAGCAUGCCACCGGUGGAUCACUCACCUGGGGAUACAAAACCGUUCUCCUUCGAUUAGAGUCGUCUGCAUUAUUGACAGUUUCGAUGGACCAGGCAGACAGAAGCAAAGCCUGGAUGCGCGCGGGAUCCACUUGUCCAGCAAAAGGGCACGAAUCGGGGAGGUCACAGGACUUAAACAUACGAUAGGCCACGCGAGCCAAAGGCGUGCCGUACUGUGCUGCCCCUGCCUGGCCUGUCGUGUGAUGUGACAGAAAAAAAUUAAAGGGAGCGGCGAACCUGCGUUUCAUGAUCAUUGAUAGAUGGAUGGGUGGAUCGAGCUAGUAUUAAGCUGGUUGUGGUGUGUGUGUGUGGAGGGGGGUCUGUCUUUGAAAAGUCGACGCUGCAUGCGGACGUUCAGUUUCAAGUGGCGUGCAAGAUGUUCCUAGUGAAAAUGUGAAAUCAUGGGGGAAAUAGGCGAAGUUUGCAGGGUUGAACGGCACACCGCGUUUGGCUGACGGCUCUAUGCGCGGAUAUGAUGUUUUCUUUUUAACGAAUAUUCUGAUAUUUUUCAAUACCAAAACCGUAUUCGGAGUUAGCUGGCGUCUGAAUUUUAAACAGAAGACUUAAAUCUCCGGACUCUUGAAUUAAGAUCUAAGUGUCAUCCCCACUCUCUCUUCUCCCGCAUGCUGUUGUUGGAUUAAGAUCCAAUGUUCAAACACGUCAGCUGAUCGCUAACUAAGAAACAAGCGACUUCUUAAUAGCAAACCGUUUUCUGAAUCCCCACAUUCGAUAAUAAAAUUCCACCGGGAACCUACCAUGCUGUAUGCAGAUAUCGACCUUCUUUUUUUGGAUUGUGAUAAGUGUAUUUUCAUAGUUUAAAUAUUGUUCACGGUGCAAAUUCCGCCCUUGCGUGGCGGGUUAUUGGACAUUCAACUGUGGAUACCGAGCUUAGCAAAUUUUUGUCGAACUCUUUUUGGAAUGGAAUGGAUUAAUACAAUUUGACUAAGAGUCAUCAUUUUUAUGGUUUAGGGUGGUGGCUGCACCCCAAAACCUACCAAGGAUCGAACCCCAGGUUUGACCCUCGGCGUGUCUCAUUUGAGCCGAAUUUCUUUUGGCAGUAGGAGAUGCAAUCCGUUCACGCUUCACACUGAAGCGUCAGUGACUUCGUCGAUCUCAAAACGUUUUCACGAUUCUGGUCAUCCGUGUGAGUGUGUGCGCACGGCGGUGUACGUCGUGUGUGAUCAUUGUUCCUAAAAUAAAGUACUUCCUUCGUCUAACAAAGGAUGUCUGAAUUUUGAUUAAAUUUGAAUGCAUCUAUACAUCAAGUCAUGUCUACAUACAUCAACAUUUUGACAAACUUGAGACAUCUUUUGCUGGACGGUGAAAGUAUAGGAGCCCGGGAAUAGCCGCAUCUUAUUACAAGCAAUUAAUAUUUCGACCCUGAACCAGUUUGAGCUUAACCCCAGUGGAUCGGAAUCGGGUUCACUGAGCGAGCGAGCGCUCCAUUACAGAUUUUUACAGGCACUGAGGCACCGUCUCUUCCUGCUGCCCCCCUCCGGGGAGCUAGCUGCGUGCUAUGGACCGCCCAUUCGUGGAACGGGCUGUACCCACCAAUACCUACGUACCUGCGCGCCUGCCAUGCCACCCCUCUGCCACGGGGGGCUGUCGGCUCCAAAGAAUCAUGCAAUAAUUACCAGCUUCUUCUAUCGGCGGCAUACAGAGGAGAGGAUUGAGCUUUUGAGCAUCUCGUGUGCAGAGAGAAUCUCUCUGCCCGUUCGCGCCAGGUGGAUGUAUUUACUUGCGCCAGGAGCAAACGAGCAACUCGUGACCGCCUACGCACGUUUCCCCGACUAGACAAGUCAAUUGGUGAAAAUUGGUGAAAUUGGCAGCUAGCUUAUUUAUCCCUUUAUCCAUUCGCACCCACCCCACCCCGGCCACCCUCCGCGCUGCGCAUGCAUGCAUGUCCUCGUGGGCUCUCGAGGACUUGAAGUACGUACGUCGCAUGCAUGCAGAUAAGACGGAGCUAGAGAGAAAGCCUCUUCUUUUCGCUCGUGGCCCGGCAUGUGCAUGCCAAUGGCAAUGCCAGCGUCCCAGUCAGCUACUCUCUCCGUUCCAAAUUCUUGCCUCAAAUUUAUCCAAAAAUAAAUAUAUUUAUUUUUUAAAAACGUUUAUAUACAUGUAAUAGUCCGACAAAAAUUAUGAAACGGAAGGAAUACUGACCAUAGCUAUGGUCAGUACAACUCCUAGUGACAAGUGCAAGCAGGGGAAGUUCAUACUCUAUGUGGGAGGUGCAAUGCAUCUCUCGCUCUAAAGACGUGGUACUCCUAGACUACAGGACUACCACGUACUGGAUUCAUCGAGAUGUGAUGGAACGGUGUACCAGGGUGCGUGGCAUGCAUGUAGACGCCGGGCCGAUCGAUGUAUGUCGAGAGCGGGAUAUGGACAACGAAAAAGGGUGUGGGCAGGGUAGGUGUUCGAUCAAAAUCCACGGACAGUUCCAAACUGAGGAGACCAUGGGGAAACUACUGGACAUCGGGGGUAUAGUGUUCACGUGACGUCAGAACUGGGGAGAGCUACACAACCUCAAGUCGUCGUCUUCUGGUAAGCAAGAGGACCCUUGUUUGGGAGCGCAAUGCAAGUGCAGAUGUUGUGCAGGCGCAGCAGAGACGUGACCCUUGCAGAAGAAAACGCGAAGAGCCGGGUAUAGUGGAUAUGUGGAUGCGUGAAUUAUCGUGGGCCGGGCCGCUUCAAAGCCUGGUAACGCGUGUCGUCGUGGCCUGGCCCAGAUUAUGCUGCUCAUCCGUCCAGCUCGCAAUACAUGAAGAGAAGUUCAAAAACCCGCUGUCCACUUUUGCAUUUAUCCAACGUUUCCUUGAUGAUUUGUCUCUCAUUCGUGAUGUUGUCCAUGCUGUGACACCGGAGCCUCCUCCUGGUGGUGGUCGCCUUGUCCCGCCCACCAACCGCUGGUCUCCUCCGUCGGCUGGUAUGUGUAAAAUUAAUGCGGAUGCUGGAGUUGCAAGGUCAGGUGCAGGUGGUUCUUGUGCUGCGGUCUGUCGCGAUGAAUGUGGAAGAUUCAUGAGAGCCUCUUCGAUUACAAUCGAGGGCAUGACCGACCCUACAAUACUUGAAGCAUUGGCAUGUAAUGAAGGCUUGUCUCUGGCCUUGGACCUUAACAUCUCAAAAGUUUGUGUUGUUUCGUACUGCUUAACGGUUAUCAAGAGUCUACAACAAGAUGAUCUUUGCUAUUAUAGUGCGAUCAUUAAGGAUAUUGUGGCAAGGAAGGAUCAGUUCCGUGAUGCUGUUUUCAGACGUGAGAAGAGAACUCUUUAUAGAGAUGCUCAUAAUCUAGUUAGAGCGGAGUUACCGCUUUCUGUUGGCCAUCAUAUUUGGCUUUUAAGUACCCCAUGCAUUACUUGUAUUCCUGUUCAAGUUGGUGUUGAAUAAAGCUGGCCUUUCCCCUAAAAAUAAAAUAUCCGUCCAGCAGAACUGAAUCCCCAAUAGCGCGGUUACAAGACAAGAAUGAUUAUGUAAUUAUGUUCCUUGUUAUCGUUUCACUUUGCACCACAGAAAGAGUGCUCUGUUUGGCUCCACCAAGGCAAAAGGAAAGAGAAACAGGAACCGAGGAGUGUCUCAUUGUCAAUUACUAAUUCAGCCAACGAACCCAUAAAACAUGUACCGACGCAAAUGCAAUUCAUCAGAAGUGUUCUUCAAGGAAGAACACAGACAGGGUAUCGGACUACCGGUGACUAUGUUUGGAUAUCUUACAUGCUCAGAAUGCUGCGGGCGAGUUAACUGGGAAAUAAUUGAAGAUGAAGAAAGGACACAGCAAGUUACAUAAGCGGCAACAGAUUUUGCUAGAGUGGCACAGCAGUGGCAGGUGCUGGAACAUGCACCUCAAAUACAAUCAGGAACUCGAACUGUUUAUAGCUUUGGACACUUUCUUCCAUCGCAAAACACUUCGAGUUUGUUCUUAUCAAGCAAAUGGUUUUCGAUUAGGCCCAGAUAUGACAUGGUGUUAUUACAUGCAUAACAGCGCUGGCUUGUCAAGCACCACUGGCAUACAGGCGAGUCCACUCCUUCGCUGCAAAGCAAAAAAAAAAUUGACAUGUUAGGUACAAAAAGCAAUGAAAAGUGGAGCAAAAUGACAUGCUAGUGUAUCAAAGUGCAGUGUUAGCGUGCGGCUUUGUUGGCUGAAUUUUCAGUUACCUGUCUCGACAGCUUCAGCUUCAUUGGAUUUCCAGUGUUUUGCCACGUUUUCUGAGAGCGGAUCAUCUGGAUUCGGAGCGCUCAGCAGUGCCUGAAUGCUGCAGACCAAACAUUGUAAAGAGGCAAAAAAAAAAGAGUAUACAAUAGUGGAUACAAGAAGCAACCCUCUGGAAAUACGAUAAUAUGAUACGAUCAUGAACUAUAAUGAAACUAUUUGGCCAAACAUGCCACGGAAGACAGAAGAGGUUGCUACCUCAAAAGAACAGUACGUAUCUGAAGAGCUGGGCUCCAUUUGUCCUUCAGGAUAUCGAGGCAUAUCCUACCAAGCUGCAGUGCAAGUCAAUCCGAAAUGAGAAACUGUUAUCGAAUGAAGUUCCAUUGAGAAUAUCAGUUCCCUACCUUGUCAAUGUUGGGAUGGUAUAUUUUUGUGAGAAACCUAACCUGCGUCAGGAAUAACCAAAGAGUGAUGUCCAUCAGAAAGAAUCACAACAGAGACAACAUACAGAAAAGUCAAAUAGAAUUGUGUAACUACUUUGGUUAGACGACAGUGUCACACUAAAACUAAAACAACCAUGUUGAUAUCCGUAAGAGUAAAACAGUCCAAGGACAGGAGUUGAGAACAAAAUAUUCAGCUACCUCUUAUUUAACAUGAUGGAAAUUACUACUCCCUCCGAUCCAUAUUAAUUGUCGAAAUAUUACAUGUAUCUAGACAAUUUUUUAGCCAUAGAUACAUCCAUAUUUGGGCAAAUUUGAGACAAUUAAUAUGGAUCGGAGGGAGUAUUAGUCUGAGUCUCAGAUGAUAUAUCACAAUGUCAGUACACUCCAAAUAUAGCAUUGCCAAUUAAGUAAAGUAAAGUACGGAACUGUGCAAAGGAGAUUAGUUAAGUGAACGGAGAGAGAAAUCUAGUAUGGAUACGAAAAGUAUUAACACAAUACUAAACAUGGGCAUUCAGUAUUCCUGAUCACAAAGAUGGUAUGCAAAUCUAUUAAUGGUACAUAUCAACAACAAACAUGGGCGCUGCCCAAAAUAAGAUGUCACAAUAAAUUGCUGGUUUCGGUUAACCACAGGCAUAAUUAAACGUCCAUCCCACUGUCGCACCAUAGCAUGAUAAAAUCAUUGCGAAGAUCGCUCUGCCAGAUUUUGAACUCAAAUUUCAGUUACAACUUACAACUAGGAAAUGAACCAAAUUCCACAUCAAGGAGCCUACCGGGACAAGAAAAUCCAUCACAAUAUGUGUCAAACUAAUAACUUCUUAAACAACCAUCCACUAAUACUUGAUCAAAAAAUUACUUUUGGAGCAGCCAUCGGAUAUUCCUCAGGUAAGAAAAGUUCAAGCUUGAAAACUCCACCUGUCCAACACAUAUUAGAAGAAAUAUCAGGAGGACCAGACACAGACAACUAAACAAAAUAAUGUUUCACCCAAUUAAAAAUGUCAUAAGCAAAUACAGUAUACAAAGAUAAGUAAACCAAGCUUAAAUAAAUAAGAUAACAUAGUGACAAAUGUACUGUCUAACAAUAGGAAAACAGGUCGUUCUGUGUACCAUUUAUCAUAUACAUGCACCGCAUUUCAUUACUCCAUGUUGCAUGGAAACAUGGUAGAUAGUUCCUUGUGCCGUAUAUCAGUAAACUUCAGUAAUCGCAAAGGUUAAGGAAACCCAAGACAUUCAAUUCCCAUAGGUUACUGAUAUAUGGUACAGUUGUAGAUCUAGCAUGUUAAGGAAACUACAAACUUGUGCCCCAUAUCAUAUCUAAACUAAUAGCAGGUAUAACUGUUGAAGUAUAAGGUGAAUUGCCCUCAUUUCUCCAUCAGCUUAGGCUUUUAGGGGCACUGGUUCGGCCCAUAUGCAACUCUCCAUGGUAUCCGAGCCAAGAGGUCCCGAGUUCAAGCUCAAUAUAAUAAAAAGGCACUUUUGAUCCAUGAGGGGGAGUGUUGAAGUACGAAAUGAAUUGCACUCGUUUCCCCAUCAGCUUAGACUUUUGGGUGAACUGGUUCGGCACAAGCAACUCUACAAAAGGCAGUCUUCCUAUGUGGAAUAACUUCUACAAAUAAAAAACCAGGUUCACUAGAGCUUAAGAUAACCGAUGAAAUGGACUUGUCAAGCUAUAUUUUGUGAUGGAUUCAACAAAGCAGAAUCUCAAAGUAUAGAAUCCAAAAGGCACAGAAGAGUACAAUUACCACUGGAACAGCUGGGUACAAGAUGGUCGGAUUGCUGGUCUAGCAAACAUAAGUUUAGAAGUGUAUAGUUCCGGCAGCACUAGAACAACACCUUUAUGUGACCAUCCUGAUAUGAUCAUCCAUCUGUGAUGUUUUACUACAUAUUUGCAGCAUUUUACAAACAAAAAGAGCCAUAGAUACGAAAAUGGGGACGCGGUGACCACAGUUACAGUCCUAAAUUGCCACAGAACUACGCAUUCGUGCUCCAAAGUAUUACAGGGUUAUCGGCAUACGAAACAUUCCAACAGAAAUAAAAUGAAAAGGAGGUUUUACCUUCAUAAGGAGACUGCGCCGGACCAAGGACCAUGACAUUGAAGUAGCGCAUGUUCUCCUCCGACGGCGACGCGCUAAUCCCCGGCGCUGCACGCACCCCCCCAACACACGAAUCAGCACAAACAUCCGAGGCUCGAACGCGGACAACACAACAGGAGCAUCGAAUUCUAGGAAAACGAACCUGGUUCGCUGAGCAGCCGCUGCGUCUCCUGCAGCAGAUCCAAAUUCCGAACAGAUUAGGCACCACGCACAAGGAAUAACCAGACGAUAAGGUUAUCAUAUCGCGUUAGAGUCUCAGAAACGGCUGUAGAUCUGGGGGGGUGAGGGGCGAUCGGAUCGCGGGGUAGGGCGCGCGCACCUUGAUGAUCCGGCGCGGGAGGUUGCUGUUGGCCAUGGAGUCCGGCCGGGGCUGGAGCGAGAGCCUAGAGGGGAGGGGGGGAGGGACCGCCUCGAGCUUCGCGCGGCGACGGAGGAGAAGACAGCGCGAGAGAGGUCAAAGGAGUCGUCGAUCUGUCGGGGAGGGCGAGCCGGGGGAGGAGGCGACGAACGAACAGAAAUGGGUCAGGGUCCGAUACUGUGUACCACGUAUUUAUAAACUCCACGCUACAGCCGCUGCUGCUGAUAUUUUCCUUUUCCUCUUGAGCUGGUGUUUUCGUUUUAUACUCUACCGACCUGUUUGUUUGUCCUUCUAUUUCAGUUUUUUUGCAUCUGGCAAUCUUAAAAGCAUCUUUUCUGUUUACACGUGAAGCUGAGAGGCACCUCCGAACAUGCUAAACACUGUUUACACAUGAAGCUGAGAAGCACCUUCGGACGUGCUAAACAGAAAAAGUGCUUUUGAGAUUGCUAAAAGUACCAAAAACUGAAACAGAAGUCCAAACAAAUAGGCCCAGAGUCUGCUGGAUUGUGAAUUUGAAUACGCACACGGCGAAAUCAAAAUACGAAGUCAUGGCCACUAUGUUUAAAAUAAAAUUCGUGUACUUGGACAAAACAGAAGUUGUUCGGUGAAUAAAAAAACCCUAGAAAUGAUUUUCCGACGUAAUAAACGGUAUAAUAGUACUACUAGUAGUACGAGGGCUGCUGCAGCGGAGAUUAAAAAAAAACGGUGUUCGUUUUAGGUGAGCCAGGGAGAGCAUCUCUCCACGCGAAGGGAGCACACAAUUUAUGCAUGUGCAGAGAGAGAGAGCACGGAGAAGAACAACCUUUGGGUUUGCCUAAUUGCAACGGCCAACUUGUGACUUUGUGUUGUGCGCGCUCGUCGUGGAAGGAUCUCAGGCGAAAAGGAAGGUGGGGGAAAGCUCGAUUAUUCUCCGCAGCUUCAAUCCCACGCUAAGCCGCCUGGUCGAAAAGGUUUGGCUGGCCAAACCGGUUUUGCAUGGUACUCCGUAACAUGUUUUUCAAGUUUUUUAGAACUUUGGAGGAACUCGAAACAAAUUGAGAGCAUACGCUUUCUAAGAGUUGAAAAGUAUUAUUUUCGAAGCACGGGCAGUCGGGCACGGGCAUCAGAGCAUCUCCGUUGCCAGUCGCUCGAAGCGAAGAGAAAUCACGCACUUCCUCUGCUACCGAAGCGAAGGCAGGAACAAGAACAACAGCGACGAGACACAGCCAGAAAUUCGGCAUAGUAUUUGCUCAGGGCUAGAUUCCACUGUAUUCGCUGUAAUCUGGUAAAGCAUGUCGCAUGUGCCCAGACUACAGGAGGAUUUCAAGACAAGUAUCCAGUCCUGUCUUAUUUACAACAGAUAGCGUGCAAAACUAUGCUCAAGAAUCAAGAUAGAUAAAUAACACUGGAUUUCCCCAGUACUUGCUACUUCACCGAACUACGGAGUACAACUGGUAAAGAAUAGUUUCACAAGUCGGAUCCUGAGAUCACAAUGAAAGAGAAGAUACAACAGGGAGUAUUAAAUCUGCACAUGAUCACAAGGAAAUCCAGAUGCACAUGAAUCCAGACAAUAGGAAGAACAGGGAACAGUUUGACAUAUUUUUUCUAAUAAAACAGAAGGUCAGAGUUGCAUGCCUACAUUGUCAACAAAAUAAUAGAUGAAUUGCACGAACAUACCUCAACGACUCAAUGUCAACAUGGAUUUACACUAACAAUUUUUAGUCUUUGACCUUUCAUACUCUUCAGAAUUAAUUAUUACCAGACUAAAAACUACAAUGCACCUAAGAACACGAGCUUUCGCUUCAGAAUAUCCCAAGGAUGGUGGGGGCAGGUGGAGCACGCCAUCAUUGGAGAGCAAGAGCAACGCCAUGUCAUUAACUGAUCAUCUUCAAAUGAUAAUCUGUAGAAGAGACAAUGGACAAGAGUCAAUUGAUCGCUUCACCAAACAGUAACAUUACAAAUUUGCUAUACAGGCUCCAAACAAACUGAUUUUCUAUCAGUCUACGCUUAAACAUAGCAGUUAACAGGGGCAAAGCUUAACACAGGCCCAUCAGCAAUCAUGCAGAGAACAAGGCAAGGCAGAUCAUCCAUGGGAAUCACACAACAAUCCACAAGGAAGCAUGCAUUACAUUCUUUGGAAAGCCAAUCAAGAGAAAUCUGGGUUCAGCGAUCGGAAAGAUUUACAAUGGAUAAGAUAUGUCAAAAUUUCAGUACUGGAAACUUCAGUUACAAAGCAAUUUGAUAAAUCUUACAUGCCAAGACAAGUAUAGAAGAUAUAUCUUUAUAUAAUAAUACUGACUCGUAAUUGUUAGGCUUACAGCAAAAAAAAGGUUAAGUUUCAUUAAACAAGCUUAUUUAUCGGUCUCUGAGGAGCUGGGUUACCUGUAGAUAAAUGGGACCAGAAACUAAGAGGUUACCUGUUGACUCAAGCUUAUGCUUAUUUUGGCGAUACACGUACUCUUAGGCUGGACAUAAUUCACCCUAACGAUUCUCACUAAGACAUGAGAAAGGAAUUCUAGUACGGAAAGGAAGUGAAAACCAGCGCAUGUGCAUCCAAGUGACUCCUAGUGAAACAGCACAGAGAGUGUCCCAGAUCGAUUUUAACUCUGAGUCACCAAGUGGUUCGUCGGUAUCAAUUUGAUCCUAACAGAUUCCAGGCAAUACCAUCAUAUGUCACCCAGUCAUGAUUUCCAGGAAAAGAAUAUAAGUAUUUUCAUCAUACAGACAGAAUUGAAGAAAAACUAUUAUUAGACCAUACAUUAUGGUCUUUCAUUUGUCAUGACAAAAAUGUACUCCCUCCGAUCCAUAAAAGGUGACGCCCAUUUUGUACUAAGUUAGCACAAAUUUUGUACUAGGUGGGCGACACAUUUUAUGGAUCGGAGGGAGUAAUAAGAAACACUAAAAGCUCAAGAUAGAAACUAUGAUUAGUUAGUUCAAUCUUUUAAUAACACCUAUGACAUAACAGAGCUGCACAAUUAUAAUUCUGUAAAUUUUAUCACACCCAAAAACCCAGAGAACCAAACGAUAAGAUACAUAAGUACUUAAAUCUACAAUCAUAACGAGAUGGUCAACAUAUCUCAUCAAUGCACAAAAUUAAAUAGAAAAACACACGACGAAAACAUCCACCAAACAUUAUCUACUGAAGACACAAAAUAUAAAUAGAAUCUCACAAAGCCUACACCAGGAUAGAUCUUAUAUGUGAAUAUCAAUGCUCAACAGGACCGAAAGCCUUAUUUAUGAAGGUUAUCGCACAUUUGGGCUAAGGCCAUUGUAACAUAAAAUAGUCCAAAAUGCACAACAUAUGGGGUGGUCGGACUUCGGCAACGAAACUUCAGACAUACUCGCUAGAUUUUCCGAAGCAACAGUAUCUAAACUUUUUUGUUGCUAAUCCUCCGCAGCAACUCGAGCCAAUUGUUUACCAAGAUCCUUAUCGAGAUUAGCUAGAUUAUUAAACCUUGACUGUAGAUAAACGGACAUGUAUGUAACAUAUUGCUCAGAACAAUCAAGUCGGGCUCACCCAAGCUUGUUUACACCCAUAUGAAGGAAAGGCUUAUUGAAUUGCAUUGUCAGGAAAUCAGCACUUCCCCAAACAAACUGAAAGUACCUUUAUUCCACAACCUAUAAACAUCAAUGGAUAUACUCAGAACACAACAGCUUACAUGUGUGGACCUUCCCACCAUUAAGGCCAAACAUAGUAACAAUAAGUUCCACUUAUUAAAAUGUCAUUGUAUACAAGAAUGUCAGAUUAAAUUAUGCCUCUACACAAGCAUACCAAUCCUGUCACUAUCACUGAAAGUCUGAAACAUUAACUAACAGCCAACAUCAUGCCACAUAACUUGUAAUUUUAGCACAUCAACAUUAGCAUUACAGAAACAAUAGUAGCCACAGAUCACAUAAACGAACAAAAACAAUCUACAGCAAUGUUCUAAACUGAAAUGCUAAAACAUACUUUACCUAAAACCCUCGUCCGCAUCAGAGGUAAUUGGAGUUGGAAAGGAAAGGCAGCGCAGCAACGGAUGAAAUCAGCUCCACUCCACCAGCACCAUUGGAUGCAGCCCCUCCGCUCUUCUUCGUGCGCUUCACCCUUGCGAGCUUCACGUGCGCAUCGACGAAGUUCUCCAUGCGCUUCACCUCCAGCUGCUUCAGGAAGUCAAUUCGCUCGCGUUCCAUCUCUAGCGAAUGCUUUUGUUUCGCACUCUCCACGCGCUCAUACAUCUCUGCAAAAGCCUCAAUUGCCCUCGCCAGCUCGCUGACACCACUAUCCCCAUCACCGCCAGCCUCGCGACGAAAGGGACGCUUGUUGCUACCGCCGGAGCGCGCCGACGAGACAGAACGCGACGGUGACCUCCGCAAGUUGUCAUGGUGGUUGUUGUUGUUGUUACCACCAGGAUGAUCACCAGAGUCCUCCGAAUCAGACACCGCUGCAGCGGCGGCAGCGGCUUCCUGCUGGAUGAACGCAGCGGCAGGGAGCAGCGCCCCGCGGCGGUAGCUGGGGAGGGGCAGAGCCAUGGGCGGGGGCGGGGACGGCGAGGAAGAAGGCGACGGGUACUUCCUCGCGGCGGUAGAAGAAGGAUGGACGGGCAGGGCGAGGUGCGGGGCCAUCGCCGGCGAGGGCCGCUUGUUGGCGGCGGAGUUGAGGGUGGGGCCGACGAGUCGGUCGAGCUCGUCGAAGAAGCUCCAGCCCGACGGCGCGCCGCGGACGCGCUCGGCCUUGUACUUCUUCUUGAGGGUGUCGACGCGGUUCUUGCACUGCACGUCGGUGCGCGGCGGGCGGCGGCGCGCGGCGGCCCCGCGGCGCGAGUUGACGGCGUUGGCCACCUCCUGCCACUGCUUCUGGCGCAGGUUGCCGCGGUUGAGCUCCACGUAGCGGCUGCCCCACGCGUCCACCAGCGCCGCCGUCUCGCCCUCGCUCCAGCAGUCCUCCCGGUAGGGCAGGUUAGGGUUGGGCGGCGGCAGCCUCCCAAACCCUCCCCCUCCUCCUCCUCCCCCUCCUCCCGCCGCCGCCGCAGCAGCAGCCGCAGCCAUCUCCCUCACCUCCAUCGGAACCAGAUCUCGCAGGAGCAAACCCUAACCCUAGCUAGCCCGCCCGCCGAGAGAAGAGGACCGAGCGAGCCUCGGGGAAGUCGCGCGUGACGGUGGGCUAUGUGAGCGGUGGGGGGUUCGGGGUUGGAAUAAAAGGACACGGCGAGGGAAGGGGGGAGGUGGGGUCGCCGGCCGCGAGGGGUCCGGGUUCCGUCCGUCACGCACGCGGCACGUGACGCGUGACCGGCGAGGGGGGGGCGGCAUCGGCAUGGCAUAUCUCGCUCGCUCUCGUGUGUCGUGGGUGACCGGAUUCGGAUCGGAGACGUGCCGCCGUUGGAUUGCGUUUGACCGGGUAACCGGCGAUUACUUUCGGGUUUCGGAGGGCGGGUGGGAUAAUGACAGCCAGCCAGGCACAGGCAAAGCAGAGCGCGGCGACAGGCGACAGCCGGAGACCGGACGGAAUACGGUGGCUGGCGCGGGGGUGGGAAAUUACCGCGUUGCCCCUACCCCGGGGAGCAGGCCGGGGCGGCACGCGGCAGGGGCAAGGCGGGGAUUUCGCGUGGGGCGGCGCGGUGUCAGGGGGUGAGCUGGUCGCCGUUGGUCGGUUUGCGUUUCGGGGCCGCCGAAAGAGGGGAGAGGAGAGAGAGAGAAACGCGCCGAGGAUGAUGGGGAAGGGAGAGGAGACUCGCGAACCGAAGACACCGCUGCUCCUCGCUCUGUACUCCAGUCUAGGCUUCUAGCUAGACUCGGCGCGGUGGAGUGGGUGGGUGAAGAGACUGAGGCGCGGGGCCCGCGUGCAAGCAGGCAGGGCGGGCAAUUAUUGUCGCCUCUGGUGCCGUCGCUCGGUACAGAGGACGGACGGACGGACGGCGUGGGCAAAAUUUAAUCGGCGUGCAGCAGGUGCCGGCUGCCGCCUGCAGGCGCCGGUCCUUCGGAUUGAUCGGUGGAUGGAUGCACUCGCCAAUGGCAAUUCAUCCAUCAAACAUCAUUCGUUACUGUAUAUUUUGUGGCAAAUCAAGAUUAGAGGUUCAUCAUCCGUUUACCGUUUUGGUUUGUCCCCUGGCGUCAUCAUCACCGUCUGGGCUUUGGAACUGACAAUAUGGUUCUUUCGGUGAAAUUCAGGUGAAAGUAAAACUCCACCGGUAGAUAGCAGCGGCCAUGGUGCCGUCGUGGGAACAGAGCAGUACGUACGUUACGGGCUCGCGUCAAAUCCUCGACGGAACCGUGCCCGCUGCACCGGUGGGUGAACAGAACACCAUAAAUCCCUCGCGGCCGUGGAGAGAAGUCAGGGGAACCGCGUGUACGUACGUGGUCCUCUCCUGCUAGCUAUAGCUAGGCUGCCCCGUGCGACCGGCGGCGAGGAAACGGCACGCUCGGGAGCCGUCAACAUUGAAUCGGAGGGCCGGGCGGCCGCGAUAGCGUAGCGACCAGCGAGAUACUCAGUCAGUACGGGCUACUUCGGGCUGUCACGCACGCACCGAGCCGGACGGCCGGGCCGACGCGUCGGGCUUGGGAACCACCGGCGCCGCAGGGGCGGGCUCGGACCGCGUCCAACGCCGCAGGCUUUGCAAAGCUUGCGUUGCGUGUACCCCACGCUACCACGCGGGUCCCCUCCACCAAUCAAUUCCAGGCCGGACGGACGGCCGGUACCGUGUACCGACGCGUCGCCCGCCGGAUCUCCGUGGCGUUUUCCUUUGCCUUUAGUUGUGUACCCGCCCCGCUUCACGCCGGCCUUGUGCGGCAGUUGUGUACACACACGCACGCACUUGUACUACUACUGGUGGCCUUGGACUUUGCUGGUUGCUGGUGCGCACCCAGCUUUUUGCGAACGGUUCCGGGAAACGCCGGCGGAAACUUGUGCGGCGGGUCGGUCGGUUGCCGGGGAAGGAAGGAUUCUUCACACAAGCAACGUGAGAUCUGACCAAGGGGAGCAGCAGCCAGCCAGCACGAGCAGCAGUUCGGCGCUGGAGCUACGCGCGAGCUGGGGCAGGAGCUACACGCCAUGUACGUUGCGUCCCCGGGCCGGUUUGAUUUACGACCGGAAGAGCCGCAGCGUUUCCGGCGCGAUGACCGGACAAAUUAGCCGGCUUGGCCGAUGGCUAUACUAUAUCGGAUUGGACAUAUGGAGUGAUAGUGCUCCCGACAGGUAGGAGACGGACGGACGAGAGCGAGUAAACUGCUGCCUGCGACUCUGCGAGUCCUGCCGUGCACGGCUCCAUGGACGGACCGCACGUCCAUGGCCUGUGUAGCUCCGACCGCACCGGACGCAGGCAAGCGGGACGUGCUGUUCAUCCUGCAGACGGGACUGACCCAAGUUAUUGGAGACGCGUCGGCAUUGAAGCCUUUUCCAUUCUCAGGAGCAUGACGUAAUCACGGGAUCACGCACGGCGUGGGCAAAAGAUUACCAGCCGCGCCGCGCGUGCCUGACUGCCUGUGCAGCUGUGCUAUUUUGAGUGCAGAAUACAGUUCUUCAGAACCGCGCCUGUUUUUUGAGGCUAACUGAACAUGCAGUUCCAUACAAUUUCAAAACUCUACGUAUAAUACGGAAGGGUAAAAGAUACUGAGGCGGUCGAGACCACUGUCGCGACACGCGAAGCCUGAAAUCGUAGCGGAUUUACUUUUUCUUUCUCUCGGGGCAACGUCCAGCAACAGCAAGUGACUGCUUGCCGGUUCAUCUGGCCGGACUGAAGGUGCAGAACUAUCUGCUUCCAUGACCAUGUCAUCUUACUGAACUGAUGUUGAUGUUGAUCGAACGGAAACUUGGUAUUAGUGCAAUUUGCAUUUGGUAGACGGGGGGUGGGAUGAAGAAGCUGCAGCGCAUUGGUCAGGGCAGCAGAUGGAAAACGCUGGAGACGGAGGUCAAAGAAGACGCGCGUAAAGGAACCGGUCAGAACAGUGACUUCCUUACUGGAUUUAGGUGACAGGCUGAAAAUUGUUUAUACUUUGGCACGUUGCCUGGGACACAGCAGUGGACAAGUUCGGUUCGGAGAAUUCUAUCCUCCAGUCAUGUUCCUUCUCGGUGAUUAACUAUCAGCUCAUCUGCCAAUCACAUGUUCUGUGGUGACAGCAGCCAGCAAAAAUAACCGAACGGAUUAGUGAUCGCCUAGAUUAUGUAGCUCAAUUUGCAUGCGUAGUUUCAAACGGUAUAAAACGAUGCCUUCGAAGAAAUGGGAGUAGUAAAAAACAUGUGGACUCGAUUUGGGCCGGGCCGCGAUAUCUUCGGUUCUCCACCCUCUUACGCGCAGCGUUUCUUCUCAGUGUCUGCUCAUCACUUGCGUUAGCUUGUAUUGUUUGCCUUCGCUUAAUAUUAGUGCCAUGUUAUCAUGGCUCCAUCGCCCAGUCGAACGCCGGCUAUCAGUUCAAAUUAUGGAUAGUCUAUUGGCUUUGAAUAAUGCGUGUCCUUGCUCUGAUUCCGUUGAGUGUCAUUCCAAGAGUAGGUAUCUAUCAGAAGAAUUUUCAGCAAAUGUCAGUGCUGCUUGAAGUCAACGAGUACUAAUCACAACAUGUGUGAACAUUUGCCAUCCUCCUGCGGUGCACUCUGACCUGCAUUGGAGAGCUGUAUUGCAGCCUGAAGGUCUUCUUCUCUAUUCUACUUCUACAUAUCUACCCACGUGUAUAUGCAGUAUCCUCCGAUGGUUUAGCCCAUGGGCAAUGCAGUUGUCUGCUUCAAUUCUUGGUGUUUCAGAACUAGUAGUACUACUAGAUAUGAUCAGUAUGCUGGGGACAGGACAGUAUGAAUGUACGAUAGAUAAGGUCCUAGAACAUGGGCCACAGGUUAUGCAGAUCGCAGACACGAGUGUUUGGCUGGAACUGAUCUCCGAAUGCGAGACUCCGAGAAACGUUGAUGCCGCUUUCUGUCGAUCACCUUGAGCCAUUGUCCGUCUGCUGGCCUGGCAGGGAAAGUCUACGGAAUGCCAUCUCGAAAGCCAUGGAAAUUCUGUUUUGCCUGACAGAACUCUGGCGUACAUGAGCAACAGCGACCGGAGCGUGGUUUGCCUGCGUGCUUGACUGUAUGGUCACGACGAACACGAGGUGGCGACCAUCCGCCGCGUUAUCCAGGACUGCACCCGUCAGAGAAGGAUCCUUCACUUUUUGGGAAUCCAAUCACUUCGGGAUCCAUCAGAGCAGAAGACACGGCCAUUUCGCCGGCGGCUUUCCCCAUACAGUGCACAUCUCGUGAACUUCCGUCCAUAUUUUCUGGCCAAAUUUGCAAAGGAUUUGUGCUUUUCAGAGUGCAGCAAACGUAGCAAUACCAGGAAACUACGGAGUAGAAUAGGAAGGAACGUACGCCUGUUUGUUCGGGCGGCAAAGUCAGAGCGACACUCUCUCUACUUUGUUUGUUCGUCAGGCCAGGACGCCCGCCAAACCCGACAUGGAUAACUCCAUUAUUGACGAUGGAAAGUAGAAAUCUGACCCCGGGGGCACUAGCAGACGACACUAUCCACAUUGUCUUCACACACCGAGAAUAUGACAAAAUAACAUGCAUUCUUAAUUCACCUAUCGUCCCCAGUACACACCAUCAGAAAACAUCUUCGAUCUUCUAAGGCGUGGAUGCAUUAGGGGUGCGUAUAAAAAUAAUCAUACUCCUUCCGAUACAUAAAAAGUUUCCCACAUUUAGUACAAAAUAUGUACUCCCUCCGUCGAACAAAGGAUGUUUCAACUUUGAUUAAAUUUGAAUGCAUCUAUACACUAAGUCAUGUCUAGAUACAUUUAAAUUUUGACAAACUUGAGACAUCUUUUGUUGGACGGAGGGAGUACUAAUUUUAGUACAAAAUGUGUGACACUUUUUAUGAAUGGGGGGAGUAUCUCCUAGACUCUUUUGAUUCAAAUGAGUUAAUCCUUCAGAAUUUUUUCUAUGUAGGCUUAUUUCAUUCGUAGGAUUAGAUUUUAGUGGAAAUUUGCCUAUGGUUCACUUUGCACUGCAGUGAUGCAAACCAGAUUCCGCGAAAACCCACUUCUAGUUCAUUUUUCAAAUCUUCAAUUCAAAUUUUGAGCAAAAAUUUGGAUAAAAGACUUGAGAAUUGAACUAAAAGUUGACCAUCAAUGGGAUCCCGUUUGCAUCUCUACUGCUCUCAAUUCCAAAGUAAAUUUUCCAUCUAAAUCUAAUCACUUGAAAAAAUUCCUUUGUUUCCAUGAUAACUAUACCAAUGCACGUAAUGUUUUUCUCUGUUUUUCCUCUAAUGCUAGAUUGAGUCUGUUUUUCCUUUAAUGUUUUUCCAACUCGAUUAGUUUAUUCAGGUGGUUUCUUCCUGUAGAAAACAACAUAUCAUGACAUUUCAAUCUUGUGUUUGCUAUUUCAGGGCUCAUUCACUCUACAUGCGUUUUAGAUGAUUUUUCUACAAGAUUUCAACUCUUACACCUUGUUUGGCACAUGUGGGUUUCUUACGUUUUCUAUUUCUACUCUACAAUCUUAAAAUCAUGUUCUCCUUCUGACCUUUGUUCUCAAAUUUAUCUAAAUACGGAUGUAUCUAUGUUUAAAAAAUGUCUAUAUAUAUUUAUAAUAUUUCAGUAACUAAUAUGAAUCGGAGCAACUAACUCGAACGAGCCCUCGGUGUUUGAAUAUUUAAAUACUCCUGAAUGCAAGUAUAGUUCUGCACUCCUACUGCAGCUUGCUACCACGAAACUAAACAUUUCUCUUUCUGCAGCCCCCGACUCGAUCUAGCCGCAGUCCAUGUCGUUCUUUUCGCCCUGGCGUGUGCAAGAGUCGAACCCAUAGUGUGAACAAUUGAGUUAGGCACGAGCCGGAGAGGAGGAGAAAGGACAAAUUAUUGCUCAGAUUAAUCAUCACCUCGAUCGUUGCGGCGCAAUACCGUUAUAUAACGACGGAAUACGGGCCCACACGUCAGUGUAAAGCGAGCUGCUUGCCGCUUUCUCCCUCUUGCGUGACGCCGUCGCCGUCCAGAGCCAUCUGGCCACCGGGCUCCCAGCCCCCCACAGAUGUGCCCCCUGCAUGCGCGCCAUGUAUCAGCCUCUGAUACGUCAGGCCAGGAACCAUCCUCAGCCGUCAGUUCGUCCAUCUCGACGGCUGCGAUCGCGCUGCCGCCACUUAUAAAUAGCACCGAUGCACGCGCGAGAAAGUCCGUUUUACCUUGCUGGGGGGGGGGGGUUUUACUUACAUGAGCGCGGGAAUGGAGGCGGAGCUGGAGGCGGCUCAGCGGCGCUUCCGGCUCUGGUUCCGCGGGCUGCGUUCCCUGCGGCGGGACCUCCGGUCGGCCCGCUGGGCCGGCGACGACCCGGCCCAGCUGGGGAAGCUGGCGGGCGGCUUCGUGGCCCACUUCUCCGACUACUGCGCCGCGCGGGCCGAGCUGGACCCGGUCCUGCUGCUGUCGGCGCCCUGGGCGAGCCCCGCGGAGCGUGGCGCCGCCUACUGGCUGGCCGGGUGGCGGCCGACCACGGUGGUCCACCUGCUGUACACCGAGUCCAGCCGCCGGUUCGAGGCGCAGCUCCCUGACCUGCUCCUGGGCGUGCGGUCGGGCAACCUGGGCGACCUCAGCCCGGCCCAGCUGGCCCAGAUCGACGAGCUCCAGCGCCGCGCCGUCGCCGAGGAAGACGCGCUCUCAAGGGAGAUGGCGCGGCUGCAGGAGGGCCACGGCGUCGUUGGCGGAGACGGGGAUCUGGACGUGGAGGGGAUCGUGAGGCGCGCCGGGGCCGUGGUGGCAGGGGCCGACGCGCUGCGGCUGCGCACCUUGAAGCGCGCCGUGGAGAUCCUCGAGCCGGCGCAGGCCGCCGAGCUGCUCGUCGCCAUGGCCGACAUGGAGAUCGGCUUCCGGGAGUUCGGGCUAAAGCACGGCGACGGCGGUGGCGAGCCGAGCCGCGGCGCGUAGGCAUAGGCGUGGCGCGGUCCAGAGAGCAGAUCCUCAUCCGCAUCGGCGGCUCGGCCCAGUUUUUUUCUUCCAAGUGUUUGCGCUGGUUUGACUGGGACAGAAAGACUGCUCACUGUUGUAAUCUUGUUGCCGUGACGAUUGUCUUUGCCGAACUGUCUCGCGGUGGGUGCUGCGUCGUAGCUGGACCGUGUGCGUGUGCGUGUGCGUGCGCGUGCGCCUGCUGGGAUGUCGUGUGAGAAAGCAAUAAAAUGCAAGGAAUGCAUGCUUGGUUUCGUUGAGAAGUCAUAUUUUGUUUUCGAGCAAGCGGUUUUUUUAACAUCUUUUCCGAUAAAUUGGCUGUUUGUCUGUUCACUACAGAAGACCCGUCCUUUUAAAAACGGUUUUGCUAUUAAUAAAUCCAUGUUUUAGUUAGAGUAGUCAUAGGAUUUUAAUCCAAUGAUAGCAAGUGAGAGAUGAGAGAACGAGGAUGACUCUCAGAUCUCCAGCAGUUAUGAAACGUCGACUGAUAUUUAAGGUUCAUUUUUUAAAAACUUGCGACUUAGAAAUAGCCAUACCCAUUUAAAAAACGUGUUAAAUCUUAUUAAAAUAAGAUUCUGAUCGAUAACUUAUUUUUAAUAGGUAUUGCUACGGAAAAGUUGUUUUUCUAGUUAAAGAUAAGUUGAAACACCAACUGUCAUAUCUUGAUCCAACGGCGGCACAUUGAAGAUGGGGUGUAGCUGCUAGCUUCGGCAUUGAAGAUGGCGUCAUGGUAGGGAGAAGCUAUCAAGUUAUCCGAGAUAGAGGAGGCACUGAUGGAACACAUCCGCUUGCUAGGCUUGUAAUCGGACAAAUAAUUCAAACAGCUUUGCUAUUCAUAAGACAAUUGAGAAAUAAUUAUUUUCAAGCCGACGCUAACAAUCGUUUAAUCCAAUCUCUGAUAUGUGUGAGAUCUAUACAAGUGUUGUUGACUGAAAAUAACUGCUUCCUCCGCGCCUGGAUACUCGUCGUGGUCCGGAAAUCCAACCAGUUGUUCGUUCGAGCCAGAUCCAAACGACACCGGACAGACAACCACGGGCGGUUCUACCGUGCCGCACGGUCACGCGCCCAAUUAACCGGCCACACGGCCAAGCGAAUCCAGGAUUAAAAAUAGGAAUCGCGUACAAUUACCGGCCACCCAGCCAGGCAGCCCGCAACGAUAAACCAGCAGUCUCCCGCUCCAUGUUUGGGAGCCAUGCCCAACUACAAACCCAACGUUUCCAAGCUGGCCGCCGCGCCCCGCGACAUCCACACGGCAGAUUAACCCUUCUUCUCCUUUCCUUCCUUCCUCCCUCUCCGCGCGCGCGCGACCUCCCGCAGACCCGCCUCCGCGAAUCUAGCCACCCCCGCGCGUGCGCCACGCACCGUCCGUCCGUCGGACCUCGGCCGGGCCGGCCCGCGGUCGUCGGCGCGCGGAGGGCGUUCGUGAGAAUGCGUGCGGCGGCGAUUGGUUGCUAGCUAGCUAGCGGCAUGCCUGGCAUGAGCGCGUGAUGGCGCCGCCGUUCCUGAAGACCGGGCACGGCCGCGACAGGUUCUCCUUCAGGCGGCGGAAAUCGUCCUCCUCCUCGUCCUCCUCGUCGACGCCGUCUUCUCCGCUCUCGGUGUCGUCCACAGCGUCGGAGGACAUCGCCGACCCGGGCAGCCCCAUGGAGUCGUCAGCGACGACGGGCAAGACGCUGCCCUGCGCCCGGCGGGCGCUCUCGCGGAGCAGCUGCGGGUCCAGGGGCAAGCUGUCCGUCGACCUGAUCCCGCCGCCGCUCGCCGGCGGCCCGUCCGACGCGCCCAGGUCCUCCACCUCCGCCGCGCCGCCCCCCAAGCCUCCCCCCCGCAACGAGGGCCCGCCUUCAGGUCUCACCAUUGUUAAUUUUCUAGUGUCUGUCUGACUUUCUGUCGUCAAAUGCAGAGAAAUGCCUUGUUAUGUUUUCGUGAUCGAUUGCAUGUAUCCAGAUGCUGACAUCGUGAGGGACAAGUUCUCCAAGCUGCUGCUGGGGGAGGACAUGUCCGGCACCGGCAAAGGGGUGUCCUCUGCCCUCGCUCUCUCCAACGCCAUCACCAAUCUUGCAGGUAAUCUCUCCCUUACCUUCCAUUUCCGAUCUUUCCAUUUCCAAUAACAGUCCCUGUCUUUCAAAUCUUCCCAUUCUGUCCGUUGGGUUCUGAUGGAUACUGACACGAUCAGCUAUGAUUUCUUUCUCAUGACGUGGCACAUUGCAGCUUCCGUGUUCGGUGAGCAGCGGCGUCUCCAGCCGAUGGCCGCAGAGCCGAAGGCCCGAUGGACAAAAGAAAUUGACUGGCUUCUGUCCGUUGCCGACCACAUCGUCGAAUUCGUUCCUUCACGUCAGGUGUCCGAGGAUGGCUCCACCAUGGAGGUCAGAAACAAGAGGAUCCUUGCUUAUCACAAGUACCUGGAUGUAGUUCUGUAUCACGGAACAUCUUUAUGCAAAUCCAAUUACAGCGGUGCUAUUUUUCUCUCUCUCCCCCCAAACAGAUAAUGAUGACUCAGCAGCGUAAGGAUCUGCAGAUGAACAUCCCCGCACUGCGCAAGCUCGACGGGAUGCUCCUUGUAAAGCUCUGCCACAUUCUUCUUUGAAAUCAUUUACGAGAAUGACAUGCGUGGAGAUACCUGAUGAAUUGCUAAUAUGCUAUGGCUGCACAUUUCCUGUUGUGGGGGCACAGAGCUAUCUUGACAGCUUCAGGGACAAGCAGGAGUUUUGGUACGUGUCGAAAGACGCAGAUGACUCGGAGAAGGGAGACGCGCCGAAGCAGGAUGACAAGUGGUGGCUCCCGACUGUCAGGGUCCCUCCUAAUGGUCUGUCGGACUCGUCGAGGAGGUGGCUUCUACACCAGAGGGAGCUCGUCGGCCAAGUCCAUAAGGCAACAAUGGCCAUCAAUGCUAAUGUUCUUAUGGAGAUGGAUGUUCCAGAAGCCUAUAUGGAGUCUCUGCCUAAGGUGACCCAUAUGAACACAGCAACAUUGCAUAACAUUUUUCUUUACUUCGGUUCACUGCAUUUAGAGGGAUCGAGACUCACUUUGACAGCAUCUUCUUUUUUUAUGCUUGAUAGAAUGGAAAGUCUAGCCUUGGAGACUCAAUGUACAAGCUUAUAACUGACGAAUAUUUUGACCCAGAAGAACUCAUAGCAUCAGUAGACUUGUCAGCCGAGUACAGCAUCGUUGAUCUGAAGAACCGAAUCGAAGCCUCGAUUGUCAUUUGGCAGAAGAAAAUGACGCAGAAGGAUGCCAAGAUGUGGGGGCAUGGUGUCAGUCAUGAGAAGCGGGGACGGUUUGAGGGGAGGGCGGAGAAUGUUCUUCUCCUCCUUAAGCACAGAUUCCCCGGAAUUUCUCAGUCAGCUCUGGACAUAAGCAAAAUCCAGUACAACAGGGUACUGGCAACCAUCUUCAAUUUUCCACUGUAUUUUCGGAUUUCCUACAGUACUUUAUUACUCAUGCUCAUUGCAUACAUUUUCUCGUUGUGAUUUUUUUGCAGGAUGUUGGCAGUGCCAUUUUGGAGAGCUACUCCAGGACUCUUGAGAGUCUAGCAUACACGGUUAUGUCUCGCAUCGAAGACGUUCUUCGCGCCGACUCCCUUGCUCAAGACCCCAAGAACGCGGAGGCGACGAGAAUGCCGAGCUUAUCAUCAGAUGACACAGACACGGUCGUCCAAGAUGCCAAGGACGAGGUGGAGAGGCUGGGAAGAAUGGAGCCUCUGAACUCGACACUAUUCGACUACGUGGGCCCACGGGACGGAGAUAUCGGGCCCAUGAUGUCGGAUUCACAGGAACCUCGGGGUGCAAAGCUGUCAAAGGUUUCGUCGAUCGCAACCAAGAGGUUCUCCUACCUAGAUAAGCUUGAGAAUUUGGGUGGAACAAGGAGCCCCAUAUCUAGACACUAGUCGCUGCCGUAGGGGAAAAGACGAUCAAUAUGGUGUUGAUGUUGCUGCAGAGACUCCGGGGAAAACUGCACGUAAAUAGCUCCGCAAAAACUGAGGGUGCAGCAUGCAUUGUGAGGUUUAUGUAAGCUUUCAAGCUUUCAGGCACCAAUACCUCCAAUUUGGUGCAGUUGCCAAGACAAUGUGAUGACGAUUCUCCUGCUAAAUUUACAUGAAAUAACCACAAGAUUCUGACACUGGACCUGAAAAUGGACCUCCAGAUUUUCUUACUGUACUUCUGUAGCAAAGUUUUGUGGUUCCAGUAAAGUGUUUGUUAUCUUAGACUUGACUUGCAGACCAUGCUUGGGUUCGGCUAGUGUUCUCCCCACGUACAAUUUAAGAGGGUAAUAACAUAUCACUGAACUUGGAGAUCGAUCUGUGUUAGCUUCUGGCGUUCUAGAUCGGCACUGUAAUAAGUAACUGUAACUGUACCAUGGCUCUAUGCAUUGGGAAAUUAAAACCACUCGUAUGAGUAAAUCAAUUUACAGGAACAAAUGAGCAGUAAAAAGCAUCCUUCCGGUUGCUGAUAGUACGUGCAGCUAGGCACGCCAUAUGAGUACAUACAACGAAGGACUUAACGUCCAGAUACGCAGAUCCAUGGUACACAAGCACAGGCAUAUGCAGGAACAGAUUCAGAGAGAGAGAGAGAGAGAAAGAAACUGAAACCAAAGCUUUAAUCAAAUCAGAUCAGAUCUUGCCGCGUGGGCCGGGGGUGGGGGGAAGCUGCGGCCCCUUCUUGAUGGGCAGCAGGUCCGGCGACGUGGUGGCGCCGAGGUAGGCGAUCAGGGACCCGCCGCCGAGGAGCAGGAACUUGAGCAGCAGGCCGCGCUUGGUGAAUGGCGCCGCGAAGGUCUGGAAGAACUUGCUCUGCAGCCCGUUGUAAGGGGACGGCGCGUCGGACCCGUACAGGUCCCACUGCCCCGUCGUGUUGCCGAUGUCGUCCAGGUCGAAGUACACGCUCUUCUCCCCGUACUUCGCCUGCACCGCGACGCCUCGUGCAGGCCUGCAGGCGUACGCGCACGCGUAUAUAUACGGUUAUUUAUACGUAUGUACAUACGCUCGAUCGAUGACAUAUUAGCUCGCUUCACGUGCGUACCUGCGGGUGGAGCGGCAGAGGGAGGACGGCCGGGCGGUGGCGGCGAGCUUGCGGCCGGACAUGGAACUGCCGGCCAGGCCCUUCACGGCGGCCGACGGCUGGACGGCGACGAGCGACACCAUUGUUGUAACAGUGGGAUGUGUUCUGAGCUUCUUUUUCUUUUUUUUUUUGCUGCGGGUUACGUGCGCGAACUUGAUCCAGUGCUGGGGAUAUUUGGAAGGUGUGCUGCUGCGGGGCUGAUCAGGUUUGGGUGGGAGAGGCUUGGCGGGGAUGGGCGAGGCCCCCAUUGGGAGCGCGCCACGCGGCAGGGUUCCGGAUAGGCUUAUCCUGAUCGCUUGAUUCUUGGGAGGGAUGACAUGGCGCGGCCAACGUGGCACCGGAGCUUGCGUGGGGUUGUCCAGCUGGGAACGGGCGUCGGAAAAGAUCUCACCAGAUGUCCCCGACGGCAUCGAUCGAUCGAUCACGGUCUCACUGAGAUAUGGUGGGCCGGUGGGCCCAGAAGCCCUCUAGCUAGGUGCUAGGACAGUGCACGUAACGUACUCCGUAUUGAUCAUUGAAGGAAAGUAAAGAGAGAUAGGUAGAGAAGGACGUCCACGUACUCCGUUGCAUUUUGCAAAUGUUGCACGUACGUACGUAUCAGCACCAGGAUACAUAUGCAACGUGGGCAGGCAGAGUACGUAUAUUGUAGUGUAACGUAUUGCUAGUCGAUCUUAAGCACCUUCCGCUUGGCCGGGGAUACUAAUUAACCGGUAAAUACGGCGGAAGGGAUGUGUACAGGCGCGAUAUAUACAGUGGAUCCAGAUCUGAGAUCGAUCUAGCUGAGCCUUGCGUACGUGCUAUAUACACAUCCUCAUCCGCGAUGGGCAAGCGCAUGCAUGCAGGGUACGCUUCUACGACAAUGGAGCAGCAAAGGAAUUGACGCU
RNAcentral lists this long non-coding RNA (49519 nucleotides) under Brachypodium distachyon (stiff brome). RNAcentral describes it as "long non-coding RNA (BDIS_LNC001806)". The stretch from base 41365 to 41500 matches the Rfam family "MIR1120/MIR1122 microRNA precursor family". Lineage: Eukaryota; Viridiplantae; Streptophyta; Magnoliopsida; Poales; Poaceae. The record is from RNAcentral.